This 75054-nucleotide long non-coding RNA is filed under the name Vitis vinifera (wine grape). RNAcentral's name for it is "long non-coding RNA (VVIN_LNC001551)". Lineage: Eukaryota; Viridiplantae; Streptophyta; Magnoliopsida; Vitales; Vitaceae. The record is from RNAcentral.
ACCCAAUCAUUCACAGCAUAGAUCCACGCUCUACCAAGUUUCUAGCAAAUAAUCCAGUACCUACCAUUCAGCAGCCAAAUAAUGCAACCCCAAAUCCUCCUAGUAACUUAUCCGGCACAAGGCCACAUCAAUCCCUCUCUCCAACUAGCUAAGCUCCUCAUACGUGCUGGUGCCCAUGUCACCUUUGUCACUAGCAGCUCUGCCGGCACCCGUAUGUCCAUAUCCCCAACCCUGGAUGGGUUGGAGUUUGUGACAUUCUUGUUGGUUUUGAAACCAGAUAAUUAAAAGAAAAACGGAUGCCAGAAAAAUUUUCUCAAAAUUUUUUCUCAAUGAUCAAUACUUGUAUUAAUUUAAUGAAAUAACAAAUAUAGGUAAUUUAGAAUUGUACCUUGCGAUUAGGCUGAUAAAUUUGAACUCCACCAAAAGGAUCUUAGAAUUCCAAAUCCUCUAAAGCACCAUGGAUCUUUCUCUAACGUUCUCCAAAAAAUGAUGAACUCAAAACGAGUUGGCGUUUUUCAUUCUUGGGUUUUUUAUUUUUUUAUCACACAACUUAAUAUAUAUUGAAAACUUGUAUUCUCAUCCCAUCAUCCGAGAAACAUUGAGAAAAAAAACUUUUUAAUACCACGAAAUAACUGACAUAUUUUGAAUUUUGAAAAACAUGGGAGAGAAUAUAUCUCCCCAUGAUCCCCACUUAAAAAGUGUUUCUUAGGGAAUACAAGUAAGUGUGGUCUUCACCACAUUGUAUCAAAAAAUAUUUUAAAUAAUCAAAUUAUAAAUAAAUCAAAUCAAGAUUGUGUGAAAUUAAUUUAGAAUUCAAAAUUCCAAACUAAUAAAAUCAACCCAACAUAAAAAAAAAUGUUCAUAUAAUUUUAAUGGAGCCGUUGAGAGGAACUAUGGACAUUAUAAUUUUAAGCUCCAAUAAUUUUGACAAUUAAUUAACAACUUAAUUAAAAAAUCAAAAUUAUUAAUUCCAAAAUUACUCCACUAAAAAUUUGGAAUUGCACUCUUAAAAUUAUAAAAUUAAAUAUAUUCAAAGGAUUUGAAUUGCCCAUUGAUAUAGUCACUACAUAUGAGUCAAUCCUCCAUAAACGGUUCAUAAUUAAAGCUAGGUUUUUCCGUUAACCUCUUUAAUUAUCUCUUUCUCCUUAAGUGCCAUUGGUUCUCUAAUGAAUAAUAUAUUUAUGGUCUAAUCAUAAAUUGAGCGCUCUUAUCAUUCAAGGCCCAAACCAAUACUUAUGGGAACUAUCCAUCUGACUUCUUAACGAAGGAAUGGAUUUCAUCUUGUAUAUUAAUAUUCCCGGCUAUUUAUUUUAUUAUACUUCCAAUACACCAAGAAUUUGACACUAUGUAUUUGUGUCAUUACCCGGUAUGUCAAAAAAUACAAUAGAAUAAAUAGGAGUCUAUUAAUCACUCAGAAUUAAGAUCAAUGCAUAUAUGACCAUCAUUGAUUAAUAUUGAAUGCUCUAUAUUAUAACGGAAUUUAUCAGAGAUUCAUAAUUAAUCGUGUUCCAGUCCUAUAUAAUCAAAUUAUAUAAAGCGCUUUCAUUCCAAUAAUCUCAUUAUUAACAAUCUGGAUAAGAUCAUUUCAUUCAGAAUGUAAUGAACCGCACUAGUAAUUUUAAAUUAAAGAUCCCAACUUUAAUUUUUAAUUACGAACAUAUUAGAUUAUUUUACUUUAAAUAUUAUCCUCUUGUAUAUAACACUUAUAUACAAUAUUUAAAGUUACAAUUAAAUAAUCUAGGGUUUUCGAUAGUUAUAAAGCAUCUAUAACAUGCAUGCAACAAUAAUAUUGAAAUAAUUCCUUAAAAAAAUAUUAAUAAUCAGCAAAAUAAAAAACAUCUCAUUUGUCUAUGGGCACAUAUUCCAACAAUCUCCCACUUGCCCUAAAGCAAAUGUGACAUGUCUCUAAGUCCCAUCCCUUCAAGAUGUUGCUCAAAACUCCGAGCCGGUAAAGUCUUAGUGAACGGAUCAACUAUGUUGUUCGCAGAUGCGAUCUUUUCAACUAAAACAUCUCCUCUACUGACAAUCUCUCUUACCAGGUGGAAUUUCCGUUCUAUGUGUUUUCCUUUUCGAUGGUUCCUGGGUUCUUUGGCAUUAGCCACUGCUCCACUAUUAUCACAAUAGAGUCUGAUUGACUCAUGCAUAUUUGGAACAACUUCCAGUUCUUUCAAGAAUUCGCGAAGCCAGACUGCUUCUUUAGCUGCUUCACAAGCCACUACAUAUUCAGCCUCCAUGGUUGAAUCAGCAACACAAGUUUGCUUGACACUCCUCUAUAUAAUGGUUCCACCUUCCAAAGUGAAAACGGCCCCAGAAGUAGACUUCCGAGAAUCUCUAUCUGAUUGGAAAUCAGAAUUUGUAUAUCCGAUAGGAAUCAAUUCCCUACCAGAGUAUACCAACAUAUAGUUUCUCGUCCUUCUCAGAUAUUUAAGUAUAUGCUUGACUACUACCCAGGGAUCUAAUCCUGGGUUUGAUUGGUAUCGACUAACCACUCCCACUGCAAAGUAUAUGUCAGGUCUUGUACACAACAUUGCAUACAUCAAACUACCAACUGUUGAUGCGUAGGGAACUCGUCUCAUUUUCUCCUCAUCUUGCGGUGUUUUUGGACACUGCUCUUUAGAGAGAUGAACUCCAUGUCGAGAAGGCAAAUUCCCUUUCUUAGAGUUCUCCAUUGCAAACUUGACAAGCACCUUGUCAAUGUAUGCUGCCUGAGACAAUGCCAGAAGCCUAUUCUUACGAUCCCUAGUCAUUUGGAUACCAAGAAUGUAGCUUGCCUCUCCCAAAUCCUUCAUUUGGAAUUGGCUGGCUAGCCAGUUCUUUACCUUGGAUAGAGAUUCUACAUCAUUUCCAAUGAGUAGAAUGUCGUCCACAUAAAGAACUAAGAAAACCACUUUAUCUCCUCCUAUUUGCUUAUAGACACAAGGUUCACCCAGAUUUUGUUCAAAACCAUAAGACUUUAUGGCUUCUUUAAAUCUGAUAUUCCAAGAUCUAGAAGCUUGCUUAAGUCCAUAAAUGGACCUUUGUAGUUUGCACACUUUCUGCUCUUGGUCUUUGACCAUGAAACCCUCUGGUUGGACCAUAUAAAUAGUAUUUUCAAGAUGGCCAUUCAAAAAUGCUGUCUUGACGUCCAUUUGUCAUAUCUCAUAAUCAUAAUAAGCAGCAAUGGACAAGAGAAUCCUAAUGGAUUUUAGCAUGGCAACUGGUGAAAAAGUAUCCUCAUAGUCUACUCCUUCCUUUUGGGUAAAACCCUUUGCCACCAGCCUUGCCUUGAAAGUCUCUACUUUCCCAUUAGGUCCUCUUUUUCUCUUAUAGAUCCAUUUGCAACCAAUAGGCUUAAUGCCUUCUGGUAGAUCUACAAGCUCCCAGACUGAAUUUGAGUACAUAGACUCUAUUUCGAGUUUCAUGGCUUCCUGCCAUUUCUCUCGAUCAACAUCAUCCAUCGCCAUUUUGAAUGUCAAUGGAUCAUCAUCACUGCCAUCAGUGACUGCAACUUGUGCUUCUCCAUUUUCACGAUAGCGAAUGGGCAAUCUUAUUUCCCUCCCACUACGUCGUGGUGGCGGUGGUGUUAGAUCUUGAGCAGUGGUUUCUUUUCUUUGUCGUUCAACAACUGUUGUUGGCGUGGGGCUGAUCUCAUCAGCUAGCAACUCUUCCAGAACUACUUUACUUCUAGGUUUAAAAUCUGCCAUAUAGUUAUACUCGAGAAACGUAGCAUUUGUUGACACAAAUACUUUGUUAUCCUGAGCGCUAUAAAACAGACCUCCUCUUGUUCCUUUAGGAUAUCCUACAAACAUGCAUACCUCAAAGCGAGGUUCUAGUUUCCCAAUCUUUCCCUUUAACACGUGCGCAGGGCACCCCCAUAUGCGAAUAUGUCUCAAACUAGGUUUGCGACCAUUCCAUAACUCUAGGGGAGUGUUAGGGAUUGACUUAGAUGGAACUAUGUUCAGAAUAUAUACUGCCGUUUGUAAUGCAUAUCCCCAAAAUGAGGUUGGCAGAGAAGAAUAGCUCAUCAUUGAUCUCAUCAUGUCAAGCAAAGUGCGAUUUCUUCUUUCGUCUACACCAUUUUGCUGAGGUGUCCCAGGUGCCGUGAGCUGUGAUAAUAUUCCAUUUUCAAUCAAGUAUUCCUUGAAUUCAUAAACCAAGGAUUCUCCUCCUCGAUCUGAUCGAAGAGUUUUGAUUGAUUUGCUAAGUUGUUUUUCUGCUUCAGCACAAAAUUCUUUGAACUUUUCGAAAGCCUCGGAUUUUCUUUGUAUCAAGUAUACAUAUCCGUAUCUUGAAUAAUCGUCAAUAAAUGUGAUGAAAUAUUCAUAGCCCCCUCUUGCUUUGACAUUCAAAGGUCCACAUACAUCAGUAUGUAUGAUCUCUAGAGGUACUUUUGCUCUUUCACCCUUAGCCGAAAAUGGCCUUUUGGUCAUUUUGCCUUCUAGGCAAGAUUCACAAACUGGUAGAGUGCCAACUUUUAGCUCUCUCAAAGGACCAUCCUUUGCUAGUCUUUCAAUUCUAUCUAUGUUAAUGUGACCAAGCCUUAAAUGCCACAAAUAUGUGUCAUUUUUAUCAUUAGAAAUCUUUCUUCUUUUAGGGGUUGGUUCAGCGACUUUAAACAUUUCGGUUUGAAGUAAAUUAUUGAAAAUUGGUUUAACAAAAUAUAUACCAUUAUCAACAUAACCUGAACAAAUAUUCAUUCCAUUCUUAUAGAUUGAAACAGAGUCAAUAUCAAAAGAAACAGAAAUAAAUUGUUCAUGUAACUUUGAAACCGAAAUCAAAUUCCAUUUGAAAUCCGGAAUAAAAUAAACAUUGUGCAAUAAAAAAUAUUUAUUAUUAGCAAAUGACAGUCGUACUGUCCCAACUGCUGUCGCUGAAACUCUUGCCCCACUGCCAACUCUCAUCAUGAAAGCUCCCUCUUCAAGAUCCUUAGAUGACUCAAGCAUCUUCAAAGAAAUACAAACAUGGUUAGAUGCUCCUGAAUCAAUAAUCCAGCUUGAGAAAUCAUUCUCAACUAAGCAUGUUUCCAUUACUAAUAAAUCUAAUUUACCUUGUUUCUUCUUUUGUUUCAGCUCAUCAAGGUACUUCUUACAGUUCCUUUUCCAAUGGUCGUCUUGAUUGCAAUGGAAACAUUUCCCCUUAGGUUUAGGCUCAACAGCCUUCCUUUUCUUCUUUUGGAUCUUCUUCUUGUCCUUUUGAUUUCUCACAUUUCUCUUCUUCUUAUUCCUUGAAGAAGAAGCCUUUUCCACAACUGCAUUAGCCUCAGCAAUAUUUGCCUUGCCUCUCUUAUCAUCUAUAAGGGUCUCAUAAGAUUGCAGCUCAUUCAGGAGUUCUGUCAAAUUACAUUUCUUAUGGUUCAUGAUGUAGUUUGUCCUGAAUUGGAGGAAAGAGGGAGAAAGUGUCUCUAAGAUCAUGCCAACCUGGGUCUUUUCAUCAAUUUUAGCUCCAUUAAUUUCAGCCUCAUUAAAGUGAUGAAUCAUUUUAAGGACAUGCUCACGAACUGAAGAACCAUUCUUCAUUUUACUGUUCAUAACAGCUUUCACAGCUUCGUGGCGGGCCUGCUCAGAGGGGCGUCCAAACAUCUGCUGUAGAGAUUCCAUAAUCUCGCUUGCAGUUUCAAGGCCCUCAUGCUUAGUUCUAAGCACUUCAUUCAUUGCUGCUAACAAGUAGCAGCGGGUCUUGUUAUUUGCAAUAAUCCAACGGUUAUACUCUUCUGAGACAACCUUGGAGGCAUUAGCUGGAGGCACUGGAGGACAAUCUUCCUUAAGGACAAAGUGGUAGUUCUCAUUAAUGAGAAGAAUGUUCAUGUUGCUCUUCCAUUUUACAAAGUUUUCACCAGUUAAAACUUGAGAGGCGAGAAGUGAGAAAAUUGGGUUUAACAUAUUUGCUGAACAAAAAUAAGAAAUAUUUUCAAUAAAUAAUUGCAUAAAUAUCAUAAGAAAAUUAAAGGCAAAGUAAAUAUGAAGCAAGAAUGCUCAUGAUAAAAUACACCAAAAAUUAUACUUUAACAGCCUAAGGAAUUUUAAUUACCACAACUAAGUGCGGCCGUAUGGUAGGUCAAAUAAUUGCUAAUUAAAAUGAGACUUUCUCAAUUAAUAAAUAUUAUCCAAAAUAUCUCAUAUUUCUAAUACUUAUUAAUUUCCUUUAAGUUCAGUCAAGAAAAUAAUUAACCAAUUUAAUUAUAUCUUUAUGAGUGUAACCCACCAUAUCAGAUUUUUAAGAUUUAAUUUAGAAAUUGCCGCCGUAGGGUAGAUCAAUUCUAAAAUACAUCUUAAAAUCCUGUCUCAUGGAAGACAACCUUGUUAUUGAAAUUAGUAGACACUUUCCGUAGGGAGGACAAAAUCAAAGUGUCUCUAAGCGCUACUAAAAACUCACAGUGUUGUAUUAAUAGUGGAGACCUAGGGUUUAUAUUGUAAUAUUACCUGCUCCCACUCAUUAUAUUGCAAAAGGUGUAUUUAAUUUAUAAAACAACUAUUGUUUCAUAAACCUUAGACAAUUUAAACAUUUUAAAUUACUAAGCCUUUAUAAUUUUAAACAAUUUAAAACUAUAAAUUAAGUCAUCUGUGACAUUAUAUAAAAUAAAAUAAAAAUAAACGCAUGAAUGCAUGACAUGCAAAAAUAGGUAGGCACUUUUCUAACUAAAAUGACAUGCUAAAACAAGGGUAGUGGUGGAGCCAGGGAUAAAGUUCAGGGGCAACAUGAAAUAAACCUUCUUCAUAUACAUAACCAGCCAGGAGCCAUAGCCUGGUGGUACUAGCAGGGAAUACCCAUCCUUCAUGGGUUUGAAUCCCUUGGCUCCACCCCUUGCAGGACAAAGUAAUCAUCAACUUUAUAAAUAUAAAAACGGAAAUGGUUGGGUUCCAUGGACGUUAAAUACAACCCAAAUAAAAUAUAAAAAAAAUACAAAUAAUAAAACUGGGUCUUCCUGUAAAUCUACAUCUUCAUCUUCUCCUUGAAAGAUGGUGGUCUCCAUUGAAUUUCUCAAAUUCAAUAAAAUUCAAAUUUCCUUGAAUUGUGGUUGUCUCCAUUGAAUUUCUCAAAUUCAAUAAAAUUCAACCCAAAACCGAUUUACAAUUACAGCAAUAAACCUAUUUACAAAAGAUCUUAUAAAAUAGGAAUUACAGCAAGAAUCCUAUUUACAAAAGAUCUAAUAAAAUAAUUAUUACAAAAAUAACAAAAUCCAUGGAACCAAUAAAAAAACGACCAAUCCAUUCCCACAAACAUUCAUCACCAUGAACAUAAAAAUAAACAAACAUCAAUAUGCAAAAGUGCCUACCGAAAGCCAUGCAAAGAUUAUCAAAUAAUCAUUCAUUAAAUUAAUACAGAGUAUCAACCUGCUCUGAUACCAAUUGUUGGUUUUGAAACCAGAUAAUUAAAAGAAAAACGGAAGCCAGAAAAAUUUUCUCAAAAUUUUUUCUCAAUGAUCAAUACUUGUAUUAAUUUAAUGAAAUAACAAAUAUAGGUAAUUUAGAAUUGUACCUUGCGAUUAGGCUGAUAAAUUUGAACUCCACCAAAAGGAUCUUAGAAUUCCAAAUCCUCUAAAGCACCAUGGAUCUUUCUCUAACGUUCUCCAAAAAAUGAUGAACUCAAAACGAGCGGGUGUUUUUCAUUCUUGGGUUUUUUCUUUUUUUAUCACACAACUUAAUAUAUAUUGAAAACUUGUAUUCUCAUCCCAUCAUCCGAGAAACAUUGAGAAAAAAAACUUUUUAAUACCACGAAAUAACUGACAUAUUUUGAAUUUUGAAAAACAUGGGAGAGAAUAUCUCUCCCCAUGAUCCCCACUUAAAAAGUGUUUCUUUGAAUUUUGAAAAACAUGGGAGAGAAUAUCUCUCCCCAUGAUCCCCACUUAAAAAGUGUUUCUUAGGGAAUACAAGUAAGUGUGGUCUUCACCACAUUGUAUCAAAAAAUAUUUUAAAUAAUCAAAUUAUAAAUAAAUCAAAUCAAGAUUGUGUGAAAUUAAUUUAGAAUUCAAAAUUUCAAACUAAUAAAAUCAACCCAACAUAAAAAAAAAUGUUCAUAUAAUUUUAAUGGAGCCGUUGAGAGGAACUAUGGACAUUAUAAUUUUAAGCUCCAAUAAUUUUGACAAUUAAUUAACAACUUAAUUAAAAAAUCAAAAUUAUUAAUUCCAAAAUUACUCCACUAAAAAUUUGGAAUUGCACUCUUAAAAUUAUAAAAUUAAAUAUAUUCAAAGGAUUUGAAUUGCCCAUUGAUAUAGUCACUACAUAUGAGUCAAUCCUCCAUAAACGGUUCAUAAUUAAAGCUAGGUUUUUCCGUUAACCUCUUUAAUUAUAUCUUUCUCCUUAAGUGUCAUUGGUUCUCUAAUGAAUAAUAUAUUUAUGGUCUAAUCAUAAAUUGAGCGCUCUUAUCAUUCAAGGCUCGAACCAAUACUUAUGGGAACCGUCCAUCUGACUUCUUAACGAAGGAAUGGAUUUCAUCUUGUAAAUUAAUAUUCCCGGCUAUUUAUUUUAUUAUACUUCCAAUGCACCAAGAAUUUGACACUAUGUAUUUGUGUCAUUACCCGGUAUGUCAAAAAAUACAAUAGAAUAAAUAGGAGUCUAUUAAUCACUCAGAAUUAAGAUCAAUGCAUAUAUGACCAUCAUUGAUUAAUAUUGAAUGCUCUAUAUUAUAACGGAAUUUAUCAGAGAUUCAUAAUUAAUCGUGUUCCAGUCCUAUAUAAUCAAAUUAUAUAAAGCGCUUUCAUUCCAAUAAUCUCAUUAUUAACAAUCCGGAUAAGAUCAUUUCAUUCAGAAUGUAAUGAACCGCGCUAGUAAUUUUAAAUUAAAGAUCCCAACUUUAAUUUUUAAUUACGAACAUAUUAGAUUAUUUUACUUUAAAUAUUAUCCUCUUGUAUAUAACACUUAUAUACAAUAUUUAAAGUUACAAUUAAAUAAUCUAGGGUUUUCGAUAUUUAUAAAGCAUCUAUAACAUGCAUGCAACAAUAAUAUUGAAAUAAUUCCUUAAAAAAAUAUUAAUAAUUAGCAAAAUAAAAAACAUCUCAUUUGUUUAUGGGCACAUAUUCCAACAAUACUAGCACAGAUGGUACCAGGAGGGCUUCCUCAACGUCCUUAAGGCUUGGACUUGAGUUCGAAUCCUGGGGAGACCACUCUGGGCGCCGCGCAGGCUCAAGCCUAGGCACUAGGGCCAAACAAACAAAUGACGUCCCAACAAUUCUCGGAUGGCUAUGAUCAUCGAUUCAACCACGGGGACGGCCUCCAAAACUUCAUGUCCGAGCUGGAGCGUCUCGGGUCCCCAGCUCUUACUGAGCUCAUCAUGGCCAGAGCUAAUGAAGGUCGUCCCUUUACUUGCUUACUCUAUGGUAUGCUAAUUCCUUGGGUAGCAGAGGUCGCCCGAAGCCUUCACCUCCCAUCUGCACUUGUUUGGAGUCAACCUGCCGCUGUUUUUGAUAUCUACUACUACUAUUUCAAUGGUUAUAGAGAGCUCAUUGGGAACAAGAGCAAUGGUUCCUCUUCUUCCAUUGAAUUACCAGGGCUCCCCUUGCUCAGUAGUAGUGAUCUUCCCUCAUUUUUAGUGCCCUCAAAAGCAAGUGCACACAAUUUUGUCCUCAAAUUGCAUCAGAAGCAACUAGAGCAGCUCAACCGUGAAAGCAACCCGAGAGUACUGGUAAACAGUUUCGAUGCAUUAGAAUCCGAGGCUCUAAGAGCUAUCAAUAAGUUUAAGUUAAUGGGAAUUGGACCCUUGCUUCCAUCGGCUUUCUUGGAUGGAAAAGAUCCAUCCGAUUCGUCAUUUGGAGGCGAUAUUUUCCGUGGUUCAAAGGACUAUAUCCAGUGGCUGAACUCAAACGCUGAAUCUUCUGUCAUUUAUGUGUCAUUCGGAAGCCUCUCGGUGUUACCAAAGCAGCAAUCAGAGGAAAUUGCUCGCGGACUGCUAGACAGCGGGCAGCCUUUCUUGUGGGUCAUAAGAGCCAAAGAAAACGAAGAAGAAGAGAAAGAAGAUAAAUUGAGUUGCGUUGAAGAGUUGGAACAACUAGGGAUGAUAGUUCCUUGGUGUUCUCAGGUGGAAGUUCUGUCACAUCCGUCAUUGGGAUGUUUUGUGUCACACUGUGGUUGGAAUUCAGCUUUAGAAAGCUUGGCUUCUGGGGUGCCAGUGGUGGCAUUUCCUCAGUGGACUGAUCAAACCAUAAACGCGAAGCUGAUUGAAGACGUGUGGAAGACAGGUCUACGGGUGAUGGUGAACCAAGAAGGACUAGUUGAAGGUGGUGAGAUCAAGAAGUGCUUGGAAUUGGUCAUGGGAGGUGGAGAAAGGGGUCAAGAGGUGAGAAGCAAUGCCAAGAAAUGGAAGGAUUUGGCCACGGAAGUUGUGAAGGAUGGUGGAUCUUCUGACAAGAACCUGAAAAACUUUGUGGAUGAAAUUAUACAGGGUCACUAGUAAAGAUGCACCACAAAUUACAUCAUCCAAAUCAGGAGGACUUUUCUCAAUAGUAUGGUAAUUUAAAAAAAUUAUUUUUAAAUUAUUGUAGUAAAAGAAGUUAUUACAAAUAUAUGGUAGUUUUUACUACCUAGGAGAUAAGAGAGAGGGUGAACGGAUAAAUUUUUUUUUAAACCAAAAUCAUCUUUUCAAAAGACGAUUUUAAAAAAAUUUCAAAAGGGGAAAUCCUCUCUUCAAGAGACGAGUUCCAUAAAAAUAUAUAUAUAUAUUAAAAAAUUCCCAAAUUAUUAAAAAAUAAAUAAUAAAAAAAAACAAUUCCUCAAGGGAACUCGUCUCUUGAAAGACGAGUUCCCAUGAAUUUUUUUUUUUUAAAUUCCCAAAUUAAAAAAAAAAUCCUCAAGGGAACUCAUGAAGAGACGAGUUCCAUGAAAAUAUAUAUAUAUAUAUAUAUAUAUAUAUAUAUAUAUAUAUAUAUAUAUAUAUAUAUUUAAAAUCCCAAAUUAUUUAAAAAAAAAAAAAUUCCUCAAGGGAACUCGUCUCUUUAUAUUUUUUUUUUAAAAAUUCCCAAAUUGUAAAAAAAAAAAAAAAAAAAAAAAAAACCAAUUCCUCAAGGGAACUCGUCUCUUGAAGAGACGAGUUCCCAUGAAAAAAAAAUAUUUUUUUUAAAAAAUUCUCAAAUUAAAAAAAAAAAAAAAAGUCCUCAAGGGAACUCGUCUCUUCAAGAGACGAGUUCCCAUAAAAAAAAAUUCCCAAAUUAUUCAAAAAAUUAAAAAAAUAUAUAUAUAAUAAAAUAAAAUAAAAACUCAUUUGAAGAGACGAGUUCCCUUGAGGAAUUUUUUUUUUUAUAUUUUUUUUUAUAAUUUGGGAUUUUUUUUUUAAAUAUAUAUAUAUAUAUAUAUAUAUAUAUAUAUAUAUAUAUAUUUUAUGGGAACUCGUCUCUUGAAGAGAAGAGUUCCCAUGAGGGAUUUUUUUUUUUUUUUUUUGUAUAAUUUGGGAAUUUUUUUUUAUAAAAUAUAAAAAAAUAUUUUUUUUUUCAUGGGAACUCGUCUCUUAAAGAGACGAGUUCCCUUGAGGAUUUUUUUUUUUAAUUGGGGAAUUUGUUUUAAAAAAUAUAUAUAUAUAUAUAUAUAUAUAUAUAUAUAUAUAUAUAUAUAUUUUCAUGGAACUUGUUUCUUGAAGAGACGAGUUCCCUUGAGGAAUUGUUUUUUUUUUUUUUUUUAAUUUGGGAAUAUUUUUAAAAAAUAUAUAUAUAUUUUUUUUUCAUGGGAACUUGUCUCUUGAAGAGACGAGUUCCCCUGAGGAAUUUUUUUUUUUUUUAAUUUGGGAAUUUUUUAAAAAAAAUAUAUAUUUUUUUUCAUGGGAACUCGUCUCUUGAAGAGACGAGUUCCCUUGAGCAAUUUUUUUUUUAUAAUUGGGGAAUUUUUUUUUCAUGAGAACUCGUCUCUUUUUUUAUUAUUAAUUUUUUUUUUUUUUUUUUAUAAUUUGGGAAUUUAUUUUUUUUUUAAAAAAAUUUUCAUGGGAACUCGUCUUUUCAAGAGAUGAGUUCCCUUGAGGAAUUUAUUUAUUUAUUUAUUUAUUUUAAUAAUUUGGGAUUUUUUUUUAAUUUGGGAAUUUUUUUUAUAAAAAAUAUAUAUUUUUUUUCAUGGGAACUCGUCUCUUGAAGAGACGAUUUCCCUUUUGAAAUCGUCUUUUUAAGAGACGAGUUCCCUUUUGAAAUUGAGUCUUUUGAAAUUUGAAAAGAUGAUUUUGGUUUAAAAGAAAAUUUAUUCGUUCACCCUCUCUCCUAGGUGGCAAAAACUACCAUAUAUUUGUAAUAACUUCUUCUACUACAAUAAUUUAAGCAUAACUUUUUAAAAUUACCGUACCAAAUAUAUAUAUUUUUUUUAAAAAUUCCCAAAUUAAAAAAAAAAAAAUUAACAAGCUCUCUUAUGGACAGGAGGAAUCAAACUUAUCAAUUUCCAUUUGUUGUAGUUUUGUUUUGAAUUCUUCUAAAUUGGAAAUUUUGGUCCAACUUUGUAAUAUGGAAUAUGUUCAAUAUUUUAUUUAUUUGUUUGUUUAUUUAUUUUUAUUCAAAGUUCAACUUAACAAGCCCUUUUACUUAUAAGCGAUAAGAGGAAUCAAACCUAUUGAUUUUCAUUUGUUGUAAUUUUGUUUUGAACUCUUCCAAAUUGGAAAUUCUAGUCCAACUUUUGUAAUAUUGAAUAUGUUCUCCAUUGACAUCCAAUUUACAUUGUUCUCAGUAAGUACAUUCUCAAAUUUAAAAAAUGCUAAAAUAAUCAACUACAUAGGUGUUGAUUCAUUUCCAAAUUGUUAAUCGAGAACUUAAUUUUCAUCCACCACAUAUUCAAAUGGAUUAUUUUGGAUUGAUGAUUAUUUUUAUUAGUCUCAUAGAUACUUAAGAUUAGAUAAAUUAAUAAUCAAUCAAUCUCACAUGAACAAGUUGUUAUAGAGAGUAGCUUAAACCUAUGCAGAUGCAAAAACUAAAAGUCCAUUGAUAAUGGAAAAUUCGUUACAUAUAAAAGAAAAGGGCAUAAUAUUACUUGGUUUAGACGUUACUUAUUCUAUGAGACUUAUACCAAUCAACACAUACAUUCUUUUUUCCACAUUUAUGACAUAGAACACUUUAUGCUCCUUAAGGGAUCACUUCGAACGAUAUUGAGGGUUAGAAAUUCAAAUUCUUGAUCUCUAGUUUUCAUCUUUGAAAGGAUUUCCAAGAUUUUCUUGAGAAAAAACCAAUUUGAGAGUUUUAGCUAGAAUAACUACUUUUCUUCAUUUUUUUCAAGGGUUUCUCCAAAAUAUAUUUUUCAAUUUGUUUUUAUACCAAGACCAUAACUUUUUUAUUAUGUUAAAUAAGGAUAACAUCAUCAUUAAAAAUAUAUAUAGUUCUUUUAUAUAUAUUUUUUUUAAUUUCAAAUAUAUAUGCAAAGUUCUUGAGCCUUCCAAGGUGAUGCUUGAGUGCCCUUUGUUAAAUGUUUGGGCGUCCAAGGUUGUUUUUCUUGUUUUUCAUGUAAUAUUCUACAUGGAUCACUUCCAUGUGCUUUCAAGCAUCCAUUAAUUCCUUUUUACACUUAAUAGCGACUAAAAUUUUUAUGUUAGCACACAUUACUUUUACCUAAAUUCAACUCAAGGUCUACUUACCAAGCUUUAAGUAUAGAGUUUUCAACUCGAACAUGGCAUGUAUAAAUCUCUAUGGUAGUAAAGUAGGUUUGAACAAAUAACUUUUGGAGCAAAAUUUUCAACUUAAACUAAUACAUUAACAAACCUCUCUAUUGGUGAUUUAGGGACAAAACAUCAAUAUUAUAAAUGGACCUUCGACUCUCAAAUUAAGAUGCACUAAUGUCACUCAACCUAGUUCUCACCAAAAAUCAUUGAAAAAUAUGAAUGACACUAAUAAAUUCAUUUCACUUUUCUUGUCUUCUCAAACUUGUUACUUGAAAUAUACUUAAACAAAGAUAUAAACAUAAACUGUAGUGUGUAAAAAGAAAAUAAGACAACAAUAAUGAAACAUAUAUAUCCCUCAAAUGUAGUGCAUUAAGAAAUCCUUAAUAUAUCAUCACUUCCUAGAUGCACUAAAAAUUUGUUUAUAUUUUCCUUUUAGUCACAAAAAUGAUCAAGGCAAGAAAGAAAAUAUUAAUCUAUCAUAACACAUCUCAAUUAUCCAUUAAUUGAGUAAGAAUAGUAAUUAAUCAAGAAAAUUUAUAUCCAAAAUGCACAUAUCAUAUCUAGCCAUACAACAAAAGUAUUGGCUUUGGUGUUUUAUUUAGCCGCAACCUAUUCUAUAGAGUCAUUUCCUAUAUAAAACUCUCAACCGUGUAUGUCUUUCCUAACCCUUGGUAAAAAAAAUCCAUGCAUGAAUAAACUUUCCUCUAAGAGUCUUCUUAAUCUCUAACUAAAUCUCUAUGUGCUGCAUAUGGAGGAAAUAACACACUUUAUUGAUGUAAUAAGAGCUGACUUAUAUACAUAGCUAGGAAAAACUACUUAUGGCAAUGUACAUCAAUUUGUCUACAACUAUGCAAUAGUUACAAAUUUGUUAAAGUCAACACAACAAACAACGGUUACAAGAAUAUACAAAAUUGAUUUUGAAUGAUCUUGCUUGGUUGUAGGCUAUCUGUUCAAUCAUUGCCUUGAUUCUUGCAAUCUGUCUUUGUCUUUAUACAUCCCCGCAAGAUUAAGCUUCCAUCAGCAAGCCCAAUCUUGUAUCUCAAUAGUUCGGUUCUUUGUCUUGACAAUGGCUUUGUCAACAAAUCAACCAAUUGGUCUUGUGUAUGAACAUGUUGAACUUGGAGAGAACCAUGUUGAACUAGAUCACGAACAAAAUGGAAAUCAAUUUGUAUAUGUUUCAUGCGUGAAUGUUGGACUGGAUUGAAACUUAGAUGUGUAGCACUAAGGUUAUCACAGAGUAAUAAGGGAGCUGCUUUAAGUGGAAAACCUAGCUUGUGAAGAAGUCCACGAAGCCACAUUGUCUCGGAUACUACAUUUGCAAGGGCUCGAUAUUCAGCUUCGAUGGUAGAUUUUGCAACUACUCUUUGUUUCUUUAAGCUCCAUGAAAUGGGAUUUGGGCCUAAGAAACUAAUGUAGGUAGAUGUGGAGAUUCGAUCAUCAAUAUUUCUAGCCCAAUCAACAUCAAAAUAUGUGAUUAAAGCUAGAAGUCCAAAUUUUGUGAGUUGUAUACCAUGGAAGAUGGUUUGCUUUAAGUAUCGAAGAAGCCUUUUUUUUGCUGUGAAGUGAGUGGUGGUAGGCUUGUGCAUGAAUUGGGACAACUUGUUGACCGAAAAUGAAAUAUCUGGACGCGUUAAAGAAAUAUACUGCAGACUGCCAAUGAUUCUUCGAAAUUUUGUGUUGUCCACAUUUGUUGUGCCAUCAAGUAAUUUGAGAGACUGAGUUGUUGAAAGAAGAGUUGAGACAUCUUUAGCACCACUCAUGUUGGUAGUUGAUAGUAACUCUCAAAUGUACUUGUGUUGUGAGAGAAAUAGUCCUGCUUGAGUAGGUACAACUUCCAUACUAAGAAAAAAAUGAAGUAGACUCAUAUCCUUUAGAGAUAAAUGAUCUCCCAAUUGCUUGAUGUAAUAAGAGAUAACUUAUAUACAUAGCCAGGAAAAACUAUUUAUUGCAAUGUACAUUAAUUUGUCAACAACUAUGCAACAGUUACAAAUUUGUUAAAUUCAACACAGCAAACAACGGUUACAAGAAUAUACAAAAUUGAUUUUGAAUGAUCUUGCUUGGUUGUAGGCUAUCUGUUCAAUCAUUGCCUUGAUCCUUAUAAUCUGUCUUUGUCUUUAUACUGCAAGUCAAAUAAUUCCAUGCUUUCUAAAAUCUCAAUCCGUAUCCUUCACACAAUUUCAAUCUCAAUGGUGUCUUCAACUAGAAACUAUCCCUUCCUAAAAUUCCUCUUAACCUCUAAGUUGUUCAAGCAGUGUACCCAAAUCUCAAUGGUAUCUACCCUUAUCCCAUAUGCAGCUGUGAGUAUCUAACACUCUCCAAAAUCAUUCCAAAAGAGAGUCCUACUUACCAAAGAGUCUUCUCCAAAUCUCCAAUUUCAAUGGAAUCAAUUCUAAUCCAAUAACUUUUCCACAUGCCAUGAAUGUCUUCAAAGAGUCUCCAAAAAUUUGGUUGCCUUCUUAAUUUCCUAUCAAUGUCAUGUGCCUCCAAAGAAUCUACUACAUCUCAAAAACUAAUCUCAAUUUUAAAUAUCCAAUGCCUAUGCCAUGCAAUGAGGCAUGAAAUACUAUCCUAAAGUGCACUUAAAAAUUUUCUUAAGAUGCAUCUAGAUAAAUUAUCCUAAAAUGCACAUAAAUGAACUAACUUAAAGUGUACCUAAAUUUAAAGGACUAUAUAUGCAUCUAAAUGAACUAUCCUAAAGUGCAUUUAUAUGAACUAAAUCUAAAAUGCAACUGAGUAAACUAAACUAAAGUGUAACUAAGUGAGUAGAGCCUAAGGUGCGACUAAGUGAACUAAGUUAAGGUAUAACUAAGUGAGUUGAACCUAAGGUGCAACUAAGUAAACUAAACCUUGAAAUGCAACCAAUUGACCUAAGUUAAAAUAUCACUAAGUGAGCUAAGUUAAAGUGCAACUAGGUGAACUAAACCUAGAAAUGAAACUAAGUGACCUAAACUAAAGUGCAAAUAUGGUCACAUUUAAGAUCCAUAAAAAUCCCUCAACAAAAAAAUCUCUAAAUGUGGCUUAAAAAUAGUUAAACUAAUGAGUGAAAAUGGAUCACCUUGAGAUGACUAUAGGGUAAUGAAAAGUGAUGGAGAAUACAUAGAAUAGAAUGUGCUAGUAGGACAAAAUGAAGGGUUUACAAUAUUAUAAUAAAUGAGAUUUUAUUUUCUAUUAUUCUAUCUAUAAUAGCAAGUAUUUAAGCAUUCAGGCCUUCAUUACUUACAUUAUACAUGACUUGUGUGUGUUAGGAGUUUCAUAGAAGAUCUAAGUCACAGGUUCCUUACAAUUUGAUGAGUUGGUCACAACUAGUUUGUGUACUUAGGCAAUCCAUUUGAGGCUAUGGUACACUACCUCUUGAUUGAAGAGAUAAAUUAUCUUAUCAUUAGGAUGAGUUUCCUAUAAGGUAGUCUUUAGUGACUUUUGACAUACAGGUGAGACCCUAAGAUGAUCAUACUCUGGAUUAAAAUAAGUGACAAUAGAUAUUCUCAACAAAGGCAAGAUGAUAUCUCAUGGGAUUGAGACAAUGUAUCUCAUUGGGUAAUUUUAAGGACUUCUUAUCAUAAAAUAGGUAGUCUUGUUUAAUUUCUUAAGUGGAAUUUGAUAUAUGUCCCUAGUGGAUUAGAGUAUGUCAAUUAAUCACAUAAUAGAAGGAAUUGAGACUUCAAGAUUGUAGAGGAAAUAUUAAGAGGUUGAUAGUAUCUAUGUUAUUAGAUUAUGAACACCAAUUCAUAGGGAGUUUGCAUGUAGUGAAUAGUAAGUCAUAAAUUAGAGAAAUUGAUUAAAUUAGAUUUUCAGAAGUAGAAAUAAAAUAUUUUCCCCUAAAGUCCAAGCCUCACCAUCAAGUGAUGGGACGCAUAUAUUUACAUUUAUGAAGAAAAUGUUGGUUCAUAACCAUAUUAUGCUCAUGUAUCUUGCAAGUUGUACAUAACAUAUGACAAUGCUAUCUACAUUGUAUAUAUUGAAGGAGCAUUUAUGAAAGUGUUAGGCUACCAAAAGCUCUAAUACCACUUGUUAUGCAUUUUGAAGCUCUAAUUGCAAGCAUAUUGAUGAAAGAACAUAAAAUAAAGUCAUCCACACACAAAGGCAUGCAAGAUUUCAACAUGGUUUAACUGAUCAUAGCUAUAUCCAUGAAUGAGAGAUAACAUUCCACUAUAUGAUGGAAAAUGUUAUAUAGAAUGUGAAACAGGUAUAACUACUAGGUUCUAAAACAUCCCACAUUUUCUCAUUCUUUAUUUCUCCAACUUAAACCACAAGUCCUUUUUCUCCACUAGGUGUCUCUCAUUCUUUCUCACAUCUCACCUUGAACUACAAGCCCUUUUGUUCCAUUAAUAUCUAUUAUUCUUCCUCUUAUCUCUAUCCACCAAGUAGUCUUUAUAGGUCCACAUCUCUCCUAUAACUUUUUCACCUUAUGGUCUAUAAUAUUUAUAGAGAUAACAAUCACAUAUGAAUAUAGAAAAUAUUCUAUAUAAUAUUUCUUCUACAAUUUUUUUUUUUAAUUGCAAUUAGGAAUUUGAGACAAUUCUCGACAAUCUUCACCUUACAUCAAAUUCUAUUAAGUCAAUCUUUCAUUUCUCCAUGAUAUACAAUUUUCUAAUGGUCAUAACUCUCUUCAUGUGUCAUAGUUCCUUUCGUACACUAUGUUCUUAUUGUGUGCCAUGAUCCUUCUUAUAUAUCAUUUUGAUGAGAGAAUAAUUGACUCUACCUUAAUGAAAUUCCCUUUUUGCAAUCCUCUUUGAUGUUAUUCUUCAAUAUACUUCUUUACUCUUUCUAACAUAUUCAAACAAGGCUCAUCAAAACAUCUUCAACCAAAACUCUUCCAAACAUCUUUAAUUGAGGUUUUUCCAAACAUCUUCAACCUAAGCUCUUAUAAACAUCUUUAACUAAGAUUCUUCUAUAUAUAUAUAUUAAAAAGGCUCUGAUACCACUUGUUGUGCAUGUGGAAGCUCUAAUGCAAAUAUAUUAAGGAAAGAAGAAAAAAUUAAGCAAACCACACACAAACAUACAUGAGAAUUCAACGUGGUUCAACCAACCACAUCUUCACAGGUGAGAAAUAGCAUUUUGCUAUAUGAUAGGAAAUAUCAUAGAGGAUAGAAAACGGAUAUAAUUAUUAGGUCUUGAAAUAUUCUACAUUUCCAUAUUUUUUGUAUCUCCGCCUUAAACCAUGAGCUCUUUUAUUCUACCCAGUGGCUCUCAUUCAUCUUUACAUUUAUACCCUAAACUACAAGUCCUCUUACUCCAUCAGGUAUCUCUCACUUUUCCUCACAUUUUUAUUUACCACAUAGGAGUUAUAAGCUCAUAUAUCUCUUAUAACUUUUUCCCCUUAUGACCUAGAAUAUUUAUAAAAAUAUCUCUACUACAUUUUCCUUAUUUUAUAAAAACUUUAAUUACAAUUUAACAUAUGAAAUUAGAAACUAAAAAUAAUGUUUCUUUUACAAAAUGGAAUAUAUUUCAAUUAGGAAUUUGAGACAAUUCCCAACAAAAAUGUGCAAAACAAAACAUACUACCCUUAAAUUCUCAUACAGUCAUAUCUAAAAUAGAAUGAAAUUUAAGUUCAACAUAUAUGAAAUCCAUUCAUAAUCAUUAUCAUCUACUACAUUGAAGAAGCUAAGACACAAUGUUAGAAUGCAAAAGAUUAAAAGAUUUCUAAACUAAUGCACUCAAGUAACUAUAAUUAUACUUAAACAAGGGAGAACAUACUAAUAAAAAUUUUACAUCAUUGUAAUUUUUUUCAUGUAAGUUUUAUUGUAUGAGUUUUUAUUGAUAAGGUUCUUAAUAAGAUAGUUAUAAUAGUUUAAAAAUGUAACAAAAUAAGAUUGUACUCUUUUACCUUUUAUUAUGUUUUUCAUACUAAGGUUUUAACAAUGUACUUCUGAGAAUAAUUAUCAUCUAAGAGGUGUAUUAUAAAUUUGUAUGACAAUUUAUGGGUGACAACUAUCACCAUGUUUAUAUAAUGGGAAAGUUGUGUUUGGAGUCGGCUAUUUGAAAGUAAUAUGGAAAUCAAACCAAAAGAAAUUGGAAUAUGGGAUUUGACCGUAAAUGAGAAAAAUAUUAUCUUACUCAUGCACUAUAUACUAUUUAGGUAAGCAUUUCCAAAAUUGCCCUUUAAUUUUCCCUGUCAACAGCCACCGGUCUCCAUGUCAGCAGGCAGGUGCACAAUUUAAUAAACACUAAAAUCUGCAACUUGAAGUUAUGAAAUCUGAAACCCAAAAAACACCCAUUGAAAGUUGGGGAACUCUCUUUGUCACUUGCUCUCAUUUUGCCUUAACCCGAUCUCAGAAAAUUUCCAUUUUCAUAGCUCAUUUGAUACAAUCGAUCUAUUUAUUAAGGUCUUGAGCAGGCGAUGGAUACCCAUCUUUCGAAAGCCAUCUUCGUCUAAUUUUGGCCUAACCUUAGUGUGUCUCUCUUCACGAGUUGACCACCCAAACCCGAUAAGUAUCUUCCGAAAACCUUCAACGAAGCCAAAGUCGAGGCAUAUCUUCAUAUUUCUUCAUCAAAUGUUGAAUUUUUUUUAAGGCUUCUGGAAACCGAAGUAGAGCUUUCUCAAUCAAUCACAAGUGAGUUUUCCAUAUAAGGAUUCGUUUGGCUGUUGAGAAAAUAUUGGGGCUAAAGGUGCUAUAUUUUGGGGUUUGUUGUAUUUUGAUUAAUUUUCGCAUGAAUGAAGAUGAGGAAAAAUUUAUUUUGGUUAAAGAAAUUUUUAGAUGGACCCACCUCUUUCUUAAUCGGUUUCUUUAUGAAUUAAAAGCCACCCAGUUUUCCCUUUUGUUUUUUUGGAUUUUUUUUUUCAAUUUCUUUUGCUUAUUUUGUUUUGGAAAACUAUCUCACUGUACUAAGAACAUAUUCUAAGCCUUAAAUGCCUUAUACUUUUCUAGAAAGCGUUUUAAGCUUAUAGGUAAUAAAAUGCUGGUACCAACAAGACUAGGGCCAUUAAAGUGCUUUAUAGUGUGCUUGGUUUGCAACCAAGCACUUUAAGUUACAAGGGUUUUGGUUCAAUGAGAUCCAAUAAGAUGUUUCUGAACCUUUUGGAAGGACUUUCCUUACUUCUUAAUUAAUAUUUACUUAGAACUUCAUGAAACCUCUCUAAUGCUUACAUGAAUGUCUCACAUUGCCGAUGCUUUGUAAUUUCACUACAGGAGAAUAGAAAAUGGAUAAAUUUCCAACUAUUAGAUUGACUAAAUUUGUUGUAUAUUGAUUAAUUUUAUCCCUAGAAAUUGAAUUCUAAUACAUGUAGCAAGAUAUUUUGGAAUAUUUGAAUAUGUGAAGCAUUUGGAACCUUUAACUAGGGCCCUCUGAUCGUUGAUAUUGUAUCUUGCAACUUCAAUUGAUUUUUCCUUGGUCAAUUAACCAUGAUUUCUAAUUUGUAAAUUUCUGUGUGUAUUUCCUCUUUUAAUUUCAAAUUCAAUUUUAAUUUUAGUUUUUAUUUAUUUACUUAUUUUUAUGUUUAUUUGUGUAUGUGUUUGCUAACAUGUACUUGUCUAAAACUUGAAGUUGUGACCAAAUUUUGCAAACAUGUUCCUCAUGUUUAAUAUAUGUUUUUUUUUUUCCAAAGCUUUGAAAUUCCUUACUUGUUAAUAUGAAUUUUCAUCAUUUUUUUUCUUGUAAAUUGUUAGUCUUUCAUUUGAAAAGAAUGAUGGGAGGAUGUGAAAGUUUUAUGAGUUUGAGUUUGAUUCAAAAAUGAACUAGAGAAACUAACCCUGAUGAUCCAUGAAAGGAUUUUAUAGAGAACUUCCAAUCCUUGUUAAAUCUUGAAACUAACUUGCCCAAAGAUUCUCUUCUUACCUUUGUGUCUUGAAUCUACUUAAGAAAUGCUUCCACUAUUUCUAACUCCCAUCUUGAAGGUUUUUGACAAAUUGGAAUGGUGGAUUAAGGAUCCCAUUUCUAAAUUUUAGUAGUUCAAAUUUUACAACGGUAGCAUAUUUUGGGUAUGAUGUUGAUUUAAUAUAUUGGUGGACAUAUGCCUAUGUCUUGCCUUGUACCAAAUCUAACAUUUAGUAAUUUACAAGUAAUUAAAAUGACUAUUUUAUUUUUAAGUGGAAAAAAACCUAAAACCUACAUAAGAUUUUUCGGUAGAAACCCUCCUAAAAUAUUCUUUUACCUUAAAAUGUGUUUGAGAAUUACUCCUGAGUUGGGAAAACAUGAAAAAUGGAAAAGAAAAAUCACAAUCAUCAUCAAAAUUAAUUCAUUUAAUUAUUUUGCCGACUUAAAAAUUUCCCAUGCCCUCAAGUUCCUUCCAAAAUGCAGCCAGGAGGCUUCUGAUAUAGCUAUGAUCACUGUUCCAGUUCAUUACCAUAAUCUGUAAGCUGAAGAUUGUAACAAAACAUUGAUUGAGGUGGGCAGACUCUGGAGAAAUUACUAAUCUGCACAGUGAUAUGCAUGGACGUCGUUUUUUAAAAUUUUAUGAGUGAAGCAACUAUAUUACAAACAAAAAACACCAAAACAGCGCUCUAAAGUACAUAGGUGAUAUACAACGAAUGCUUAAAAGCGCAAUACUAUCAUCUUGGUUGUUGUAUUAUCUUCUUUUUAUCUUCACUUUGUGUUGGUAGAAUUUGAUUAGUAUUUGCACCAUAGGCUGAAGAUUUCUUAAGAUUGCAAUUUGUUUUCUUGAAAAAGAAAAAUUUAGUAAUAUUAUCAUCUAAAUUUGUAGUUGGAAGUGGUAAAAAGAAAAAUCAAGGCCAACAAAUCCAAAGAGGAGGUUGAUUCACUAUAAUUUUCUGAAAAGCAUCUUAUUAAUAAGGUAUAUACAUAACUUUCAUCCAUAACUUUUCAUAUGUGUGUGUGUGUGUGUGUGUUUAUUUAUAUAUUUAUAUUUUAUAUGAUGUGUGCUUGCUGAAGAUGUUGUUUAUAUCUUGUGACAUCUCAUAGAAUUUUUUAGGAAAAAAAAAAAGACUUGUUUGCUGCACCUCAAAUGCUAUAAGGUUGCAUUUGGUUGUUCACUGUAGGACUCUAUUUGAAAUUUUGUUCCAUGGGCAUUUAUUUAUUUAUUUAUUUUAAUAUGAUGCUAGAGAUAAAGAAGCUAGUUGAAUUUAAUUGAAUUCUAUUCCCAUAUUUUUUACAAUUCUGUAAUCACUCUCAAAUUAAAAUGCCUACCAACUACUCCUGAUGACAACAGUAGUUGUUGAAAAGAACCAUUUAAGAUAGUUAUUGUCCAUUUAUCAUGCUUGCAGAAACAUCUGUUCUGGUGCACUCUAUGAUUAGGCUUGUUUGCAUCACUCAAUGAUAUUACUAUGGUAGGUGGUUAAGAAAAAGUAUUUACUAAAUCAUUGGUUUUAGAACUUAAACAUGAUAGUGUUGUAUAAUUGAGGGGGCGCAAGGGGAAACUAUUAGUCCAAAUUGUCCACAAUACGUUACCUGCCUACCAUGUGUGUCUAAACCAUAUCUAAUUUCUUUGGUUGAAAGAUGAUGUUAUUGAAGUGGCCAAUAUAUUUCAUUCCCUAUUAAGUAGCUUUGUUUCCACAUUUAGAAGUUCUGUUUUUAGAUUGCCUAAUUUUAUUAUGAGCAUCAGAAGAGAAACUAGUCAAGAGCCAAGUGAAAUAUUUAAUACAUAGGUAGAGUUAAGUUGUAUUCAAGUUGACUUGCUAUUCUACUUGGUUUGGACGUUUAUGGUGGCCACCCAGUCUGUUAUUUCUCUUCCACUCUGAAAAUUCCCCGUUGGAUCUCAUGGUUUUCUGUUUCUAUCCAUAUUCAUUUUAUUAUUCAGACUAUUAUGCAGGGAAUGAAGCCACCAAAUCUUAGGUAUGUGUACUACUCAACCAUGCCUAAUAUGUUAUAGGAUCCAAGUAUCUGAAUUGUCGUAGUUACUAAUGUUCUAUUUGUAGUUUUUAAUUAAUUUAUUUUUUUCCCUUUUUAGUUGAUUAUUUGUUUUUCCAUCAAGGAGUUAUUGAGAAAAGAGCAAAAUGAUAGAAACUUUGGAAUCAUAUAACUUCUUGUUUCAGAAAAUGAUAGAAACUAUAUGACCAACAGAAGAUUUUUUUCUUAAAAUCCUUCCAAUAAAUAGAUUCCUCAAAGACAAUUACGGAAUUGCAUAGACAUGGAACAAUAUUUUUCUUAUUCUAUCCUGAAAAGUUGCAUUUAUGUUUCAUUUACAUAUCCAUCAUUAUGUAAGUUUAAUCAUAAAUCUGACUAUCACAUUUAUUUUUUAUGUUGUUGUAAGGAUAAAGGAUUUGAAGAUGGAAAACUGAUUAUUGUAGGACUGAGAAGUAAAUGCAUAAUUACAAUUGGAGCAGCAGGAUUCUGCUGAGGUGGUCAGAACGGAUACACACAUUGAGAGAAAGUGGGAUGAGAAGCAUGAAUGAUGACCUUUUUGGUUGUCCUGUAUAUGUUUUAUGUUUUUUGUCUUAAGGAUAAGAUGACUCAAUUUUGUUUCUUGUACCAUUUUUAGAUGAAUGUUUAGUCAUGAUGUGAAGCCCACUGUCGCUCAAAUUGUUCUUACUUUGGCUCUAAUACUCAACUUCUAUAAUGAUGAUAUUUCAGGGAUUUAGUUAGAAUUAGUUGUACCCAUUUAAUUUGUACACAUAAUAUUUUUGCAUAUUUCACUAGUAUGGUUACAAAGUCUUCUUGCAAUUCUGGGUGUCCAAUAAAUGAAGCCGCCACUAGUAUGGUAUGACAAUUUUAGCACGGUACCCUUACCAGUGAAUCCAGUAUUACAUUCAUAGUGAAAAGUUAAGAGUUCCUAUCAUUUGAUUGUCCAUGAUUAAAUUUUAUUGUCCAAUGAAUCCACUAGUAUGGUAUGCUUUUGAUCAUUUUUAAUUGCAUUAAUUUUCCAUUAUCCAAAUAUAAUUUAUAUCAAAAGAAACAAACAUAGUUUAAAUAAUUAGAAAUUUAUUAUAGCUUAUAUUGACAAAAUUUGUACAUAUUAGCUUAAAUUUAAAUUUGGAAAAUGCUAAAAUUUAAUUUUCAUAGAUAUAGUUGUUAGAUUUACGUCUCAAAUAAAUUUUAUUCCAAAGCAUAUUAUGUAUAAAAAAUUCUCAAUUUCUCUAAUGUUGUCAUCUUUAAUGAACAAAUUGUCUCAUGCUCCAAACGUUUGAGUAAGCAUUUUCAGUUUAACAAAAUUGAUAAUAAUAAUCACAUAGUAUAUGUGAACAGUACGACAAAUACAUGACUACACAUUGAUAUCCAUAACACAUUUCCACAACCUAUGUUAAACUAGAUAUUACAAUAAGCAAAACACAUGCUACAAGGAAGCCAGCAAAGAAAAUGAUUACAUAUGUAUAUGAAAUAUUUUGCAAGGAAUGUUGAUUAUCAACUGCAAGUUCAAACUUUUGUUUUCCAACAAAUAAACAUUCUUCACUUCUCUUCCAUCUUGGUGCAUAGAACACCCAAGCUCGGACAGCUUCCUCUCUAGAAGUAUAUGAUUUGUAAGCACUCCCCUUAUAAAGGAGCACAUUCUUUUGACAUUCAGCCUAAGAAUCGUACACUCCAUGUCUACGACCCAUAAACACUACAUAAUAUGUUUGCUUGUUCGUCAUUUGAUGACAUAAUUGUUGUUGGUUAAUUUUUGAUAAUCAAUCAACUAAUAACUAUUGAAAAAUAUUGUACGAAACAUAUAUAAUUCACACAUGUGUACCACAUUGUAGGAUAAUAACAGUGAUGAUAAACUACAAAAUUUAAAAUAUAACAAGUAAUGUGCAGGAUUUAAGAUCCGAGGCUUGAGAUAGGUAGAACCCAACUUUAACUAAAGUAGCACUACAAGAAAAAAAGGGAAUAAUGACGCUUUUUAAGUGUCAAGGAAGGCAAAAGAUGACGCUUCCCUCAAGCGUCAUCUCCUAGCCUGUCAUUAUAGGUUUCAAUUAACAAUGACACUUAUAAGGAGCGCCAUCUUUGAUUUUAUGUUUUCUAUGACACUUCUAACAAGUGUCGUCUUUGAUUAAUAUUAACAAUGACACUUCUAAAAGUGUCAUCUUUAAGUGUUUUCUAUUAAAGAAUUUUUACAAAAUUAUCAAUCUUAACACUUAUAAAAGCAUCAUCUUUGACUUAUUUUAACAAUGACACCUAUAAAAACGUCAUUUUUGAACAUGUUCUAAUAAAAAAUUGAUUUUAUUUUUUUAUUAAAAUAAUGAAUUUCCUAUAAUUAAAUUAAAGAAAAAACAAUUUUACACCAUAAAAUUGAAUAAAACUUUACCAAUUAAAAUUUCCAAAAACUAAUAUACAAUUACCUAUAUAAUGAUUACACACAAAUUGUUGGACUAUAAUUUACAAUUCUUUUAAUAUAAGAACAAAAGCUAAGGAAAAAAAACCAUUAAAAUAAACCAUAAUAUGCAAAAACCUAAUUCAACCUCCUAAUGAGUUCAAUCACGUAAUCUUCAUGAUUUUUGGAAUCACUUUCUUCAACGUGACAAUUUUUCUUCUUUUGACACCUUGAAGAUCAUAUUGAUUUCAUUUGCAACCUGUAAACAAAAGAAGAAAAAAAAAACCUUUAAAUUAUACAUAUAACAACCAAUAAACAUUAUUAAAACUAUGACCUUCAUAGAAUUAAUUUAGACUACUCAAGCUUGCUCACUAACCUAAACUUUAAAGUUAAAAAUAAAAAUAAAAUAAAUAAAUAAUUUUCAUUGUUGUACCAUAUUAUGCUUCCACUUGGUUUACUUUGGUAAUAUUCUAAAAGUACAAAAUUAUUGAAUAAACAUUUAAGUCAAUUCCUAAGAUUUAUGUUUUUCUAAUUUACUACAACCUGGAUUAUCAUUCUUUACCACAGAAUUAUUUUAAUAAUGGAAAAAAAAUGUGUGAAAAGGAAGAGAGGUCCUUGAGCUCCUAAAAUUAGGAGUAUCUCAACUUCAAUGAACUUUAAGAAAUGGUUUACUGGAAAUUCUAAUAGAUGGAAAUACACCCCACAAAAAGCAUUGAAAAGCUAAACUUAGAAAGAAAAUAACAUUACCUUAACAUUUAUACUAAUAAGUGGAGGGAUCAAAAUACAUAUUGUUCCAUGGAAAAAAUAAAAGUACUAGAGUUAUGCUAUACAAUCAUCAUGAGAUUAUACUAUAAGAGACAUGCUUUUAAAAACAUUUAAAAGUUCAUAAGAUAAUUAAGUUGAUGAAAAAGUAAGUCAUAUAUGAGAACUAUGAAAAUUAAUAUAUAAUUAAAUAGCUUAUAAGACUAUAUGUAUGAUAUAGAAAAUCUUAUCUUGAAAGUCAUAACAGAAAAACAAUUUUCAUUCUAUAAUGUGAACAAAAAUUUAUACUUCAAAGAGUUGAGAAUAAAAAAAACAAAUAAAAUUUUAGAAGACAUCCUUAGCAAAGAAAAAGUGUAAAACAUAAUAAGAUAUUGAGAUCUUCUUGUCUCUAUAAUACAACUAUCUUUGAUGUUUACAAUAUAUUGGAAAAUUCGAGAUGUAAAUAAAAUAACUCAAUACUAAAUACUAAAAAUUAGCCCACUCAUCUUAGCUGUUACAUGCAUUUUCGAUGCAACCUGGAUGUCAAUUCACUCCAUUAGUGGGGUUCAUGUUUUGAAUUUGAAGACCAUUACACUAUUAUUUAUUUAUUUAUUUGAGUAGAUUUUCUUUUCCUUUAAAAAAUAAAAAAUAAAAUAAGAAUAAGAUCCCACGUAGCACCAUUUAAUUGAUUAACAAGUUAAUAACUACUCAAACACUGAUCAAAGAUAUAAAAUAAAAUAGCACCUUAAUAAAAAAAUAAGAGGCUACUUUUGCUAGAGGUUCGUUGAACUUGUACAAUGAUAGAAAAAACAGAAAAAAAUUGAAGAGGCUAGUUUGAAUAAUAAAAAUAAGAGGCUGGAUUGGAUAAUAGAAAUUUUUGUGUGGACAAAAAAGAUUCAAUGGUCAAGAAUCAAUUCAAGCAUCUCUGAAAAGUCUGACCAACCAUUUGAUAGGAUUAUGCGAGCAGCUACAAGGAUAAUGCAAAUAUAGGCAAGCUAUUGUUAUUUAACAAGCCCCCAAACAAAUAGGACCAUGAAUUCUAAAUCUUUGAAUCUCCUAAAUCCAAGAGCUUCCCUGCAGCCACUUUGUGCUUCUAACUUUAUCCAACAACCAUUCAGAUAAAAUAAAACACAAUAUGUGAGCAGCUACAAGGAUUAUGCAAAUAUAGGCAAGAAUAUUGUUAUCUAACAAACAGAUAGCACAAUUGGUCUUCUCAUAUUUCCUAGUUCUUGAAGCUUGCAAAUCUAAAAACUAAGCCUACUCUGUACAAAUAACACUCAUAAGGAAUAGGUUAAAAAUUGGGUAGCCUAAUUUAAUUUGAUACUAGUUUAUACAAGCAGCAGAGCUAGAGAAUAAUAUGUUGGGCCUGAUCCCAACUAUUUGGCAACAAUGCAAAUUCUAUUUAGCUUUAUCCUUGCCAAUGGAAUUUCUAACUGCUAAGCAUCAUAUAGUAAAUAUUUUAAACCAACUCUAAACAAAAUCAAAUUCUAAACCAAAUUAUAGAAUUUUCUAUGUUAAAUUUUAUAAUUUGACAAUACAAACAAUGCACACAAUAAUGAUCUAAACUUAAACUAAUAUUAAGCUUCCACAAAUAGGAUAUAUCAUUAAUCAAUUCCAUAAAUAAGGUUAUGGAAAGGACCACACAAUAGAUUCAUAAUAAAACCUACUUUUGACAAAUGCUCUGUAAUCAGGAUCAUGCUCACAGAAAAAGUUAUCAUCAUCUAGCAUUAUAUUUCUUUAACAUUAACUCAAACAAAUUCAUCAAACUGAGAAAACAGGAAAGAGAAAGUAUAAUCUAACAAACAUUGUAACACGAUCAUCAUAAAUUUGUCUUCUAAUUACAGUUUUAACAACCCAUGUUCCACGCCACUUGACUUUUUCAGAUUCACCAAAUAGACCCUGGCAAGUAACAAAAAUAGAAAUCUCUAUAUAAUUGCUUCACAUGGAGAAAAUGAUUGGAAAUAGCUUCAGAAUGAAUGCAUAAAAUGAAUAGAUAAAUAAUCCAAAACAACAGUCCUUAAUUCAACAUUAAAUAACAAAUACAUCAUGAGAUUUUGGUUGGUAAACUGUUCAAGGAAUGAAAAGAUGACCAGAGUCUGUACAAAAAUAUUUUUGGUAGGUCACCUCUUGUCCAAAAGUAUUGUAUGGCGCUUAAUUAUUGCACAGAGCCAAAAUCAUUAACAUAAAAUAAAGUUUUAGGAUAACUUAUUGUGUUCCUUAGUUUAAAUGGUAGACCAAGCCAAACAAUGAUAGCACUAUGACUGUUCUUUUACUAGGCCAAGACUAUCACAAGACCAAGCCAACAAUUAUAACAAUACGACUUCAUUUUUAUCACACCCAAGCUAUCACUAAACAUAACACAGAUGGAAGUCAUUUUACCUUUUUUUUUUAGCAUUAAUGGAAGGAUUUUAACCCUGUAUAUUGUGAUCAUUGUGCUCUUGAUACAUAUUUCAUAAUCUUUUUAUAUGACAGCUUCUUAAAUAUUUUUUGCAAUCAGUAGGACAAUCAGACAGUAAAACUCCCCUGACAUACUCUACCAAGUUACAAAAUGGUUGUUCAAAGAGUUCAAAUACAGAAAUAUUUUGUGGCAGUUAAAUAUUUCCAUUCCAUAUUCUUGACUGGGAAGUAGCAGUUAAAUAUUUCCACACAAUAUUCUUGACCAGGAAGUACACUUGAGUAACAAGAUCCCAAAUCCUCUGGCACAUUAAACAAGUAAAAAGCCUCUAUUAGCUAGUGAUUGCAAUCUAUGUUAGAAGUAAAACUUGUGAGAUUAGUUAAAUUCAGGAAAAAGAAGAGGAAGAAAAAAGGAGAAAAAGAAAAUAAAUUAAGGUUUAGGUUUGUGUAACUUGAUUUCCCUGUACUUUCCAAUCUAUCUAUAUUACCAAGGGGUAUUCUAUCUUACCUCUUAUUUUGCCCUUAAGACCCAUUUCUUUACCUACCUCACCAAACCCAUACAUCACCUUAAAUUUUUGAAAACUCAUAAAACCCCCUCUCAAAUGCUCACCUUCUUCCACAUCUUCCUCAUCUCAAAGACUCUCAUUUGAAAUCCCUCUCCUUCCAACCCACAAAGCUCAUAGAAAUCAUGAAAGGACUUUUCCAUUGAAUCUUUUCUAAAAUCAUAUUAGAAUACUAUUAACACCAAAAACAUGCAUGGUUCAUAGCUUUAAUUCCUUAAAGCAACAUUUCUCAAUGCUCAUAUGCAAGCCUGUGAUCAACCAAUACUAUUAUUGUAGUACACAUUUAAAAUUGGACAAGGAAAAAAAAGACAAUUUAUUAUAAAAAUACCACUACUGAACAGAGAAUCCAUCUAUUUGUUUCCUAAACAAAAUACGGAAGAUAAAUAAAACAAAAACGAAGGGCAACAAAUAUAUAUAAUGGAGAAAUUGACAUUUCAUAAACGGAAGCAAUGACAACCUUGGGAAAAAUAAAAUUAACAGAGCAAACACAGAAACCAGAAACAUAUGUUAAAAACCAUCAACCAAAAUUCAAUGAAUGGAAGAAAAAAGUGGAAGAGAUUCAAUUGUAACCUUAAUAAAGUUACUGUAACUCAAUAGAUAUGGAAUAAAUAUUAUACACAUGUAGACUUACCUCAUAGAUGAGGUGCCAUAGAUUCCUAUUUUUACAAUCCUCAUGAUUCCUUGAAUUUUCAAUUUUUUUUUUUUUUUUUUUUUGCCAUCAAAACCCACUAAUGAAAGUCAUUUAUGCUUCUAGAGCACCAUCUAGUUGGAUCAUUUCUCAAACUUUCCCUUUGCAGGUAUUUUAAUUUUCAUUAACAACAUCUAGUUUUUUUUUCUUUUCUCUAAUCUAAGUUGCAGAAUGGAUAACUCUUGUCAAUAAGUUGCCAUAUAGAUGGUGGAUUAGACUUCUCAAAAUCAAAAGUCCCACUAAAUGAUUUUGAUGAAUUUUCACUAUCCUUUAAAAAAUUCUGCUACUGCUUAGACAAACAUCUAAGUAUCCAAAAUGAUAAUUUUCAUUAAAGUGAAAACUUGAAUUCAAGAACUGAAAAACCUAUAAGACUGAACUUCAAAUCCUGGAGUUCAAAAUGCUAAAUGUCCAAAUCUAAUAACCAAAGCCUUAUCAAAUCUCUAAAGAACUAGAAAAUUUUAGGAAAAAGGAAAACUCUUAUACUCAUAAAGGAGAAAAAAAAAACCAAUGCCACUAGUAUAGAGCAACAACAAAUGAUUAAAAAUCUAAAAGUCUAACACUAGAACAAUAAAUUGAUAGAAACUUAGGAUUAAUUUUGCUAAAUGAUUCCUUAAUUUGUAAAUUUUAAUAAACUUAAUACCAAAAACAGAAACAUUUUAACAAACACAUUAGAAAUCUAACUUUCACCUAAUUGAGAGCUAUGGCCCCACUAAAAAACCCACCAAUCUAUAAGGAACCCAGUUCACCAAAAUCUCUCCCAUCCCUGAACCAGUAGCCUCAUUUCCCUACGAUCAACAUCCUCACUGUAGGACCCAUAAAUGAGAACAACCCAUUGUGUAAAACUGUCUCAUAUUAGAAUCACCAACCCCAUUUGUGAUCCACACAAAAAAUCAAGUUCUACCAUUACAUUAGAAAAAUAAUCCACAAUCCUAACCUUUAGCGUACCAAUAAAACAUAAAUAUCCAAUCCUACAAAUUAAAUAAAUCAAAUUCCAAUAUUAAAUCACAAGCACAUUAAAAACUAAAAGAAAAAAAGCAUACAAAACAAAUAAUAAGAACUAGAAACUAAAAUUUGCACCUGAGAAUGAGCUAAAAUUUGUUCCAAGCCCUUAUCAUGCAUACUCGUAGGUUAGAUAAUAACAGAUGGUGAGGAACAAAGUUUCACAUGGAAAUUACAGAGGAUGAGGUAUUCGAAAUGUCAAAUAAGGUGGGGGUUGAAGAAAAUGAAGGGAAAUUAACAUAAAGACCUGAUAGUUGAUAUCUAUAAGCAAUAGAGGCUUCUAUCUCUCUAGUGCGAAAUCACAAAGGCUGUGACACCAUCAAAAAAGAAUUAUAGAAGCUUUAAUUCCAGAAAAAGCAUGAGAAAAAAUAAACCCUAAAGAGAGGGAUUUACCUGUGUUGAUUAUUUGAAGAAGUUCCCAAAAUCUUGGUGAUGGUAGGUCAAUUAGGGCCUCUCGACAGUGGAGUUCAUCUAUGAAGAAGGGUUAGGGCUUCUUCGUUCUAGAUUUCUUCAGUGAUGGAGACAUAUGUUAUUAACGACAGUUAUUUUCUGAUGAAAGGUCAUCAGCAGUGGCUAAUAAACGUAGAUAUUUAACUUGCCAAUGAUGUUUAUCGAGGUUAUCCUCUUGAGUGUAGAAGGAGCGUCCCGACUAGUUGAUGUUAUCACCGAUGCGGUGACAAAUGGGUUUCUACUGGUUGCCAUUGAGUUUGCCGAUGGUCUUUGUCGUGGCUGUUGUUAGUAGAUUUGGGGCUAGGGUUCCUAUCUAUGAUAUCGAGGGUUUGUUAAAUUGGAAAAGAUUGGGAAAAAGAAGGGUAUAUAUAAACUCAUAAAUAAUGACAUUUAUUACAAAUGUCAAUGUUACUCCAACAAACAAUGGCACUUAAAAAAAGUAUCAACAUAUUUAAAGCGCCAAUGAAACCUUUGAAGAAGCGCCAACUUUCAGCUAAAUUCUUUAAGCGCCAAUAUAUUUAUUCAAAAAACAUCAUUGUUAGUCAAAUUUCUAUAAGCGCCAUUAUUAAUACAAUUCCUUGACGUUUCUUGCAAGCGCCAAGGAAAUGAACGUCAUUGAAUAUAUUUUUUGUAGUAGUGUAGUACCUAAGGUCCCUUAAGGUAGUACCCAAGGUAGACUAAGAUGGUACGUAACGACUAUUAAGGUAGUACCUAAGGUACAGUUCGUAAAAAACCAAAGGUGAACCACUUGCCCACACAAAGAAUCGCAUAAUGGAAUGGUCUAANNNNNNNNNNNNNNNNNNNNNNNNNNNNNNNNNNNNNNNNNNNNNNNNNNNNNNNNNNNNNNNNNNNNNNNNNNNNNNNNNNNNNNNNNNNNNNNNNNNNGCUAUUUAGGUAGUACCUAAGGUACAGUCCGCAAAAAACCAUAGGUGAACCACUUGUUCACACAAGAGGAUCACAUAAUGGCAUGGUCUAAGGGUUACAAAGGAAGGUCCAAGACUUGGGAUAUGUAGAACCCAACUUUAACUAAGGUAGUACUCAAGGUAGAUUAAGGUAGUACUAAAGGCUAUUUAGGUAGUACUUAAGGUACAGUUCGUAGAAUAACAAUGCGACUUACAACCUUUUGCGCUUGUUAGAGCUCGCUAAGUCCAUUGAUGUCCAAGGCUCUUUCAAAAACCUGCGAUUGAGUAAGCUUUGACAUGCCACCCUUUUCUAUAUUCAUACUUUGCCAUGGUAAGGCUCUCUUACUCUCAGUUAAUAAAUCUCAUACUCUGAAGAAACAAUAGCUACUGGAAGUGGAAGUUUUUGAUGCUCAAGCCCAAACUCAAAUCUACUAUACAAAAUAAAAUUAUUUAUCAUUUAAUGGUGAAGUUUUGAGACUAGAGGAUCUCAAUAGAUAUGAGAACUUAUUCAACAUGAUAAAAAGAAAUUGCAUAUUUGAGACUAGAUGUUGAUUCUGGCAGCUCAUAUUCAUCAACUUAUCGCAACAAUUCAAGCCAGAAUGAAUGGGUCCUACCUAUUAAUUCCGAGAGACUCGAAAUUAUACCUCUUCAACUCGGCUAGUUACUUAGUGUUCUUACGAUAAAGUGCUCCAUUUGGUUGUUGAGAUGAUGUAGAUAGAUUGGAGGUUUUAGGGUUUCUUUUACUAAAAUGAGAGAAAGAAAAUUGGGUGUUUGGGAAAUUUUAUAUUCUCGGGUUGGGCAUGAGGAUCUAACCCUGCAUCAUUAACUUUUAGAUUUUUGUGUUUUAUUAAAUUUCAAAUAUAUCUUGUAAAAUGGUACUCUAGGAAGAGAAAAGGGAUUAAGCACAGUGCACACAAGACAGAAUAUUUUCCAUAUUGAUGGUCAAAUAUGAUAUUCCACGCUCGUGGGUUUGAAUAUCAUAAUAUUUUCAAAUAAGCAAUUGAAAAUGUUGAAUCAUGAAUAUCUAGUAGCCAGAAGUGGAGGUUAGCGUGUAACAUCAAUACUUCAAUAAAGUUGGACAGAUUAGGACAAUCAAAGUCAGAUUUUCAAAGUGGUGUGUUUUCAUUGAUUGAAUGAGAAUAGACGCAAAUGGUUGAGAAUUCGUAAUAGUCCAAAAGAGUAGUACAGAAGUCAGAGAUGGCGUCCCAUUUCCAGUUGUCACUAAAAGAUUAAAUUAUUUUUCACUCAGCAUCAUCUACUGCACGCAAGUGUUAAAAAGACAAGCAAAACUACUUUAAAACUAAAGUGUUUUUUUUGUAUAUGAUCACUUUUGUCGUGGAGAUACGAAUAAAAGGUCACGAUAUGAUAAAGAAUCUUUAAUAUAUAUUUUUAUUUUAAAUAAGGAAUCAAAAUAUAUUAAUAAACAAAAAAGAAAAAAAGGGUUUCAUUUUUUUUUCUGUAUUUUAAUGUUAAUUUAAUGAUAUUAAAAAAAUCCAUAGAUAAUUUAUGGUAAAUGGUAGGCUGGGGUGAACUCAUGAAGGAAAAUGGUUGAAGGGGAUAUUAUAUGAAACUUAUUGUAGGGACCAGAAUAGCAUCAAAGCAGCUAAUUAUUUGAAAAUUUAAAGUCAUUUUUUUUUAUAGGGCAGAGAAUAAGGGCACACCAAGCAAGUUUAAGGAGUCCAAGUUGUAGAGCAUAGCAUAAACUUAGCCCGUGUCUGGCUUCUUGCUUUUUUUUUUUUUUUUUUUUUUUUUUUUGUAGAGCAUAGAAGUGACAGUUUUGUGAUUGUGACUCCUCAUGACUACCCAAUCGAUUAGCAUAAACUUCAGGAAUAAUCUUUGCUGCCAUAGAAGUGGCAGUUUCGUGUUUGUGACUCCUCAUGACUACCCAAUCGAUUAGCAUAAACUUCAGUAACAAUCUUUCUCACCAUCUGGCUUCUUGGAGGUCCGGACAUAAGCACUCUUAUAAAAAAGUAAAAUUUUACCUUAUUUUCUGAAAAUUUUGAGGAAAUGAAAAAAAGAUAUAUAUAUUUCUUUAGUUAUUUAUGGAAGAGAGUCGGCCUACUUCUAGCCGUUCAAGCGAUUAUGCCUGUUCUAGCCCUACCAUCAGCCCUUAUCAUAAUCAAAAGGGGUACUUUAGAGCUGAUCUGUAACGGAUCAAAGCGAUCGUUAGUCGGGCUAAUCUGUGAUUGGUCAAGGCGACAAAGAAGACACAUACCUCUUUCAUAUUCCUUAAAUGGGCAAGACUCAGGUACUGCAUGUGAGAAGUAUAAUAGUUUAUUGAACAACUACUUAGAUCUUGAUUGAUUUGGAUGCAAUGGAAUUUUUUCAUUACUCCAAAAAAAACCAUCCCAUGAGUAUACAUGACCCCACUACAUGUAUAAAGCGUACAUCCCUACUUAGGGAGUAGGUCAAAGCUUUUUAUAAGAAAAGUCAAAAGCUAGAAUCCGAGAAGAAGACAAAACCCCCUAAGAGCGUCUUGUAAACCAAUUAUUCGAUCUGGAGAUCCCAACAAGGCUGUCGGAGACAUCACUAAGCCUAGGGAUGUCUCUUGCAAAGAAGAAUUCGUAUAGAUUUUCCCAAAACCCCAGUCUAGCCUACCUGAAAAAUAUAAUCUAUAAUCCACUCUCCACCCUUAUUAGUAGUAAGCGAAUAGUGACCCUAUUUGUAUGCGCAUUCACACAACAGGCACGUUCCAAGAUCUCCCGCAAUGAGAACCUAACACAUGGUUUAUUGAUAGUAAGCUGAUUAAAUAAAUGGAUUAUAGGUUGGUUGAAUAUUGAGUUCGGCUUAGGCUACGUGUUCUGUUUACGCACUACUAAUCCGCACAUAGGAUCUUAGACAUGUUUCAUCCCCUUUCAGGAACACCUUCUUACUAGUAGGGGCUAAGCCUGAUGCAAAUAUACCGAGAAAAGAAGAUAUCUAUGGUUGAUUCUAUGAAAAGUAGAUUCGCCCCUUAUCUUAUGUUAUGGCUCGUCUCGCGCUUAGUCACUCGCGGGAUUUAGAUAGGAGAAUAGCAAGUCUUUUCGGAAAUAACUCACAGUUAUCCCCCUUAUUUAGAAUAUAUAUAUAUUAGAUACUCACUCUUUGGUUGGAUCGGAUAGGGACUUCUAUAAAGAUCUUUCCACUCAUUCAUCAUUACUUAAAGUCGAAGUCACGGCAUGGGGGACUCGGAAAAAGAACAAGAAUCGAUGUCGUGGUGGUGCUACGAGAUGGCAAUUUAUCAUAUAGAAGAAUAGAUCUGUGGACCUAUUGAUUGACCAUAGAUGCGAACUGAUUGAACGCUAUCUAAGAUAAGAUAAGUAGUUCUUCUAUCAUUCAAGGGCAAGGAGAGAACAUGUAGCGGCUUGCCUAGAUCUCGUAUUUCCCAUGUAGUCCGUCGGUCAAACCAAUGAUUCUCUUCUCAAAGUAAUAGAGAAAGUCUUUUUCUUUUUCUGGUAUGUAGCUCCACGAGCUAGGAGAGCAUCAUCGGGGCAGGGCAAAAACAAACAUAGGAUCAUCAUGAUGGCCCUUUUUUUGUUUCUUUUGUUUAUGUCAGGUCUGUUGUGUGUGUGUGUGUGUGUGUUUUUUUAAGGCUUAUCUGGGGGCUGCUGCUCUGGGGCAUCCAAUUCCUCUUCUUUAUUUUGCUAUUGAUCUCACAUUGAGAGUUGCUCCUUCUUGUUCAGGAUCAUUAAAUGAGAGAUCUUCCUCCAACUCUGAGAAAUCGGUUAAGCGGGAGGCUACCCUUGACUCACCUCUCUAUCUAUAAAAAAAAAACCCCUCCCUCGAGGAGAGCAGAAGCUCCAGGAUGAGUAUGUCAUGGAUUCUUGGAUUCAUUCUCGCCCUAAUCCACCAUGGAAUUUUCGGAAUCUACCAAAACAUUCUAGGAGAGGGUUCAUAAUGAUCUUCUCAAAUAUCAUAAGGUGCUGAAGUGGCAGGAUAGGGGGGGAGGGGGUCUGUAGGUUUUUGUGAAAAAAAUGCUCUUAUCAUUAUUGCUGAAAACAAAAACCUAAUUCCUCUAUUUGAUGUUGAUUCAUUCACACUUCCAUUCCUUGUAGAGGAAGGCUAACUACUUGCUGGUUGGGAGGUGUAUGAGCGGUAACGUCCACGUACGACUCCGUGAGAAGGGAGAUGGAAUAAAAACCUUGUUGUACCUCACUCCCAUCUUCAAUGGGGUCUGCUCUAUUUUUAUUUUUUUUUGGGAGUAUGCAAAUAUGAUCUUAAUGAGGUGCGGGGCCUUGCAUCUGACAUUCAUUGGGCUUCCCUCUUUGGGAGCUUGCGUCCUAGCGUUUUUGUGCAAUAAACCCCUCCAAUCGGAGACUAAUGGUAGGUGGUCCCGCGGAGCUUUCGGAGAAGGGUAGCCUAGUGUGUAAGCACAACAAUAAACCGUGGCAAACCCUCAAACGACCUAUCUAAGAUUAGGGGGGAGAUCCUCAGUAGCGGUGACCCUUUCACUCUUCCACAGACUGAUACAUGUACCGAAUGCUCAUACGGGAAAGUUAAAUCCUAGGUUUGGAACCUUGGGGGUUGCUCCGAGAAAUCAUUUCUUUCUCGUCCACUCAAGGAGGUGUGGACACACUUACGCGGAUUAUAGGUGACAGUUACAAGAAUGGCGGGGAAUUGAACAGUACCCGACAACAUUCAGGGAUGGAUGUAGACCCAUGGGGCAGGGAUAAUCAUUUCGGUCUUGGGAGAGGUGGCGACCAUUCUCAAGAACCAAAAAGACUGAGCUGAGGGAAACCCUAUGAGUCACUAAAACGACGACGGCAGGAGGGUCCUUGAUUUAUCAAUAGAGGGAGCAAAAAAAAAAGUUUUGCUCCUCUUUACAAUAUGAAGACAGAAAUAAGGGUCGAAGUUUAGACCGCUUACAGUGGUUAUACCUAUAGAAAAGAUCAUGAAAGAGGCGAUCAGAAUGGUACUCGAAUCCAUUUACGAUCCCGAGUUUCCAGACACAUCGCACUUCUGCUCGGGUUGAGGCUGCCACUCGGCCCUAAGACAGAUCAAAGAAGAGUGGGGAACCUCUCGUAGGUAUUUGGAAUUCGACAUCAGGAAUUGUUUUCACACCAUCGACCGACAUCGACUCAUCCCAAUCUUUAAGGAAGAGAUCGACGAUCCCAAGCUCUUUUACUCCAUUCAUAAAGUCUUUUCCGUCGGACGACUCGUAGAAGGUGAGAAGGGUCCUUAAGGGAAAUGAAGCACGAUGGCUCUUUGCAUGCUAGUUCACAAACAUCAUAGUGGAAACUAGAAACAUCACAUUUUGUAAAUAAACUAGGAAAAAUUUCUUCAAAUAACCAAAGGAAGCAUGCCCCAAAUAUCAAUGACAUAAUCAAAUGUCAAAUUUCUUCUUCUACCCAUUAGAGUUAUCCAUUGUUAAAGAUUGAUGUAGCUUAUUGGAACUCUUUGACAUCAAGUCUAAGCAAUACAACUUCCCUCGCUUAAUACCAUAACCAAUCAUAUGCCUUGUUUGGAUGUCCUUAAAUACACAAAAUUUAGGAUAAAAAAUCACAACAAAAGACAAGGUCGUGGUUAUUUGGAAAAUGGACACGAGGUUAUAAUCCAAAGAUGAAACAACUAAAAUAGAAUCUAAAUUCAAAGCAUCAAUAAGGGUUAAGGAUCUUUGCCCAAUGAUUGGGGUCAAAGUACCAUUGGCAGUAGAAACAAUUUUUUGUGAAGAUAGUUUAAGAGGUGAAAUUUAUCUAAAAUCAAAUAUCUUAUCAUGUAUAGCACCAUAAUCAAUUAUCCAUGCAUAAUUAAAAGAAAUUGUAGACAUAUUUAAAGCCUUAUUAUUAUUGUUUGUAACUACUACCAAUGCUAAGGCCUUUUCAACAACUUCAUCCUUAGUCUUUCUUUCAACAAUUUUGGUAGUAGAGAUCUCAUUAGAAUUCCAAUUUUGUGGAUCACGACUAUAAUCCCACCAUUCUGGAUAUUCCACAAGCUCAAAACAUCCAUUUUUGUUAUGACUAGUUUGAUUACAAUGAGUGAAUUUGUAGGUAGACUUUUUGACACCAUUGGUGGCUUUAGGAUGAUUAGGCUUCAUUCAUCUUGUUGGUUUUGAGAAGAUCAUUUUUGGUUAAACCAAUUUCUAUCUAACAUAGCGGAAGCUAAGAGUUUUUUGACUUGCCUUUCAAAGUGGUGUGUUGUACUACCUCACAAUGAACCGGAGAAUAACAUUCCUCCAAAUCUAUAACUUGUUCUUUGCACAAAAUCUAAGGAUUUGUUGAAAAUCACCAUCAAAUCUAACUAGAAAUAUGUGUAUCCUUAGCUAUUCAAUAGAUUUCUUGUACACUACAAUGUCAUUGACAUCCUUUAUGACAACUUUAUUACGAUGACCUAAUUCUUAAAAAAAUUUAACCAACACUCCAUAAUAUUUAAAGAGAUUUUUCCAUUUGUUUGGGGGUAAGCAUAAAUAACGCUUCAUAAUUUUUGGAGUCGUAAACUCAAUAGCCACCUCUUGACUUUCUAAUUUUCAACAUACUACUUCUCAUGUCCAUCUUUCGAUUUUGUAGGUAACUUUCUCUUGCCGCAAAUGUAGGAGAGUUUCUCUCUCUUAGCAAUAUGCAUCUCCAUCAAUGGGGACUAAACAUCAUAAUUUGAUUUAGUAAGUAUGAUUCAUGCAUUGAAAAUGCCUUUAGAUUAAUUUCAUCCUAAACGAUUGAAUAUUUUUUUCGCUCAUUUUGAUAUAGAGGGAAAGAAUUACAAGGAUUUGAAAUCUUACUCUAAUACUAAAUAGGGAAGAAUUUUUUUCAUUCUUAUUUUUUUAUAUAUAUAGAUAGAAAUUAUAAUCAGGAAACUUAAAAUCAAUCCCUGCAAUCAAGUUUAAUUGAUUUGUUCACACCUAUUGUACACCGAUAUUUUCUCUAAAUUAGGAAAGAAUUAUCAAGCAGAUUACAAGAAUCAUUGACAAUCUUAACAAGUGGGAGAGCCACAUGAAGUAGGCGCUCCCAAAAGUAUUACUCAAGGAUUUUAUGGUUAUUAUAAGAUUACAUGAGGAGUUUUUGACAUUUUUUGUCCCCUUAAUUUAAUUUCCUAGCUUUACUACUCUAUAAGAAAGAAAAAAUUAUCCAUGACAAAAUAAUAGUAAAAUAGAGGAAAAAGAAAUGAAAGGAGAAAGACAAACACAAAGAAAGUUUACUUUUCUACAAUUUAUAGAUACAUUUGUUUUAGUAUGUUAAUGAUCAUGAGAUAACCUAUCAUAUUAUUUAUUUUUAUAAUUAAUUAAUUCUUGGAGAGAUUAUAAAUGUGAAUGGAUGAUAACACCACAUCAAUAUACCACUUUCUCAUAUAAGAUAGAUAGCUCAAUGAAAUAGAAAUUGUGGAAAAAAAUUAUGGGGUUGACACUCAAAACAUUAAUAUCAAGCUAGUCAAUGUAAAAUCAUGCAAAAUUGGGGGAUAAAGAGAGUAAUGUCUAGGGAAAGGUAUUACUAAUUAAGUCCAUAUAAAGUAGUAGAGCAUUCUUUGGAAACAUAGUAAGCCAGUUGAUAUUCUCUAGUAACACCUAUUAGUAAGCAAGUUCAUAUCAAAUAGUAGAAAUCAUAGAACUUGUAAUUACAAUUUAAUUAAGUGGACUUAUUAUAUUUUGAAUGGACAAUAUGACUAUAUUAUAUAAAUGUGAGAAUAUUGCAAGAGCAUAAGCAAAUAUAGGAGUUAAUUUGUAAAAAAAAAACAAUAUAUAUGUAUAUUAGGAUAAAAUAUAGAAAGUUUGUAGGUAGAGCUUAAUUGAAUAAGCUUAUUGAGUGUUGAGGAUUACUUUUGCGGAGAAAAUGCUUAGAAUUAUAACUUGUUUCGACCCUAUCAAUAUUUUGAGUCAAGCAAAAAAUAAAAGCAAAAAGAACGGGUAGAAAAAAGGAAGAUACAAUUUUAAGGUGGGGGAUAAAUAUGUAUACAUCUCAAUGCAGGGUAUAGUCUUUUGACAUUGUUUCGGUUUGUAAACUCAUUUGCAAUUGCAACCAAAAUAUUUUUGUUUUAUAGCAAUUGAACUUAGAUGGUGUUUGUUUUUUUUUUAAAAAAAAAAAAACUUAAUUUUAAAUACAAUUUGCUUUCAAAUUUUAGGGUUUGUUUUGGCAUGUUUUCUAAAAGUUGUUUCUAAAAACAUUUUUUUAAAUUAAAGAAUAAAAAACAGUUUUUUAAUGUUUUAUAAGAAUAAAGGUGUUUGGCAAGUUGUUUAUAAAAACAAUUUUUAAAGAUAAAAAACAAAUUAAAAAAAAAAAUUUUUUUUUUUUUUGGUUUUGUAAAAACAUUGAAAAUUCAAUUUACAUAAUAUAAAUUUAAUUUAAUUCAAGUCUUAUUAAAAAUAAAAAUAAUUUUGUAAUUACAAAUAAAUUAAAAAAUAAAUAAAUAGUUUUUAGUAAAAUAUGAAUAAUAAUAUAAUAAAAUCAAAAGUUAUAUCUUUUAUAAAAAUAUAUUAUUUUAGUAUAGGUAAGAAACAUAAUGAUAUUAACAUCUUCAUAAUUUUUUUAUUAAAAAUGAAUAAUGAUAAUAACAAUAUAAAAUAAUAAGUUUUAACAAUAUUUUAUUUAAAAUUAAUAAUGAAUAAAGUUUAACAUAUAAAUGAGUCAAGUUUUUCAUUUUAUAUACACAUUUAGUAUUGAAUUAUGAACAUAAUAUUCUAGAAUAUUUUGAUUUAAUAUGUAAUUAAUUAGAUCAAUUUUUAAUUCAAAAUUAUUCUUAAAAAUAAAAAAAUAAAAAUCAUUAAAGAAAUUAAAUUAUUAAUUAUAUCUUACUUAAUUUGUAAUUUCUUUUCCUAAAUUUAGAAAAUAUAGUUGGGUAUAAGAUAAACAAUAAAGUCAUGACUCAUAAUAUAUCAAUUUUGGUCUAUUAUUUUUUUUAAUGACUAGAUCCAUACAUUUUUUGUAUUAAUUGGUUCAUUAUUUGAGUUUCACAUUAUUUUUAAAAAUUAUAAAACUUUUUAAUGAAUCAAAUUAAUUAAGUCUUGUUUAAUUUGGGGUUUGUUUACCUAGUGAAACAAUACAAUGAUUUAGACUAAUUUUUGCCCAUAAAUUUCUAGUAUUAGUUGGUUUACUAUUUGAGUUUUAAAUUACUUUUAAAAAUUAUUAGGUUUUUUAAUGAAUCCAAUGCAUUAAGUCUUGUUUAAUUUGAAGUUCAUUUUUUCUAGUGAAAAAAAAAUCAAAAAAUAAUGAUUCUAUGUAGAAAAUAAAUAAUAAAAUCAUUUUAAAUCAAUUUUUGUCCAUAAAUUUUUAAUAUUAAUUGAUUCACUAUUUGAAUUUUAAGUUAUUUUUAAAAAUUAUUAGACUCAUUAAUGAAUCCAACACAUUAAGUUUGUUUUUUUUUUUCUAAUUUGAAAUUUAUUUGCCUAGUGAAAAAAAAAAAAAAAAGUAAUGAAUCCAUGUAAAAGAGAAAUAAUAAAAUUGUUAUACACCAAUUUUUAUCCAUAAAUUUUUUGUAUUAACUAGUUCACCAUUUGAGUUUUAAGUUAUUUUUAAAAAUUAUUAGACUUGUUAAUGAAUUCAACACAUUAAGUCUUAUUUAAUUUGGAGUUUAUUUGUCUAAUAAUUUUUUUUAUAUAAAAAUACAAUAUAUAUAUAUAUAUAUAUAUAAAGAAGAAACAAACCCAAACAUUUGAAAUAAAUUUUGGUCUAUGAGUUUUUAAUAUUAUUAAGUUUCAUGACUUUUUAAUACUAAUUAAAUCGAUUUUUGAGUUUCAAAUUAUUUUUAAAAAUUAAUAAAUUUUAUAUAUCAAGUACAUUUUAAUUUAAAAUUUAUUUGGUUAAUGAAAAAUAUUAGAGAAGUUUAAAUAAACUUAAAAUAAAACACAUGUAAUUUAAAAGAUUAUAUUUGAAGAUUUUUAUAUCAGUAUUAGAUCAUGAAGAAAGAAAGGGAAUGUGUGAACCCUGUAUUUUGCACGAUGCGUUCCCACUUGAUGGCGUGACUCGUUUUUUUUAUUUAUUUGGUGAAAAUUUGAUUUUUAGAAAAAGACUAGCCAAUUAUUUUUGUUUUAUUUUUAAAGGGAAAAACAAAAUAAGAAAGAAAACUCUAAGUGUGACUCCUAAAAGAAAAAUGGGUUUGUGAAAAACCGAGUCUGAGUUCGAAGGUCAAGUUACUUAUUGGGAAUAUACGAUUGUGAGUCGUAUUACCCCUCUUAGCCCGUAUACGUACAGCCUCUAUUAAACGAGGUGAAGCAAACAUGACAAUUAACUAGGAAAGUAAUGGAUACCAAUGAAAUGGUCAAAUAAUAAAACAAAUCAUGCAUAAGAAUAAGUAAAGUGGGAGUGGGAGUGCACCUAGGCAGCAAGUAAUAGUACGUUAUCAUGGAAACAAGGUUAGCUCAAACAUAAAAUCAUCACAUGCAUAUCAAAGAGCAAGACAAAGAUCAAAUAAUAUUCAUUAAACAUAACAAUUGACAAUUAGAAGAGAUCAUAUGUAGGGCCCCCACCAAAGCCCAAUAUAUUUUGCAUGAAUUAAUCUCACAAAUUCCAUUGCUUUUGAAAUUAUGAAAAAAUUAUUCAUGCUUAUUAAAAAUGGUGAAAAAAGAGAAAAUUAAAAACCAAAGAAAAACACAAGAUGCAUACCUGAAUAAAAGAUGGUAGCAAGUUUAUUAAAAAAUUAGGUUUUGGUGAAUUAGGAUUUUAAUGACGAAAGAAAGAGAAAGAAAUUAGAAAAUAACAAUAAUAAUAAUAAUAACAAUAAUAAUAAUAAUAAUGACAAAUAAAUAAAUAAACGAAUAAAAUAAAGUAAAACAAUAAAUAAAUAAAUAAAUUAUUAUAUGAAAGAUGAAUAAAUAAAAUAAUUAAAUUAGGUGGAUAAAAAAAUUAAAUAAAUAAAUUUAAAAGAUUUAAAACCAUUUGAAAGACAAAUUUUUGAAAAUCAAGUUUUGAAACUUAUUUGAAAAAUGAAGUCUCGAAAAUGAUUUGAAAAUUGGAGUUUUGAAAAUUAAAUUUAAGAAUUGGAAUUUUGAAGAAUUAUUUGAAGAUGGAAUUUUUUAAAAAUAAAUAAAUAAAUAAAUAAGAUAAUAAUAAUAACGAAAAUAAUAAUAAUUAAAUAAAUAUAUGUGAAAAUUGGAAUUUUGGAAUUUGGAAAUCGGAAUUUUGAAGAAUUAUUUAAAGAUGGAAUUUUAAAAAUAAAUAAAUAAAAUAAUAAUAAUAAUGAAAAUAAUAAUGAAUAAAUGAAUAAAUGCGAAAAUUGGAAUUUUGGAAAUUGGAAAUUAAAUUUGGAAAUCAAAAUUUUGAAAAAUUAUUUAAAGAUAUAAUUUUAAAAUAAAUAAAUAAAUAAAUAAAUAAUAAUAAUAAUAACGAAAAUAAUAAUGAUUAAAUGAAUAAAUGCGAAAAUUGGAAUUUUGGAAAUUGAAAGUCAGAAUUUUGAAGAAUUAUUUAAAGAUUAAAUUUUAAAAAUAAAUGAAUAAAAUAAUAACUAAAAUAAUAAUGAUUAAAUAAAUAAAUGUGAAAAAUGAAAUUUUGGAAAUUGAAAAUUAAAUUUGGAAAUCGGAAUUUUGAAGAAUUAUUUAAAGAUGAAUUUUUUUAAAUAACGAAAAUAAUAAUGAUUAAAUAAAUAAACAUGAAAAUUGGAAAUUAAAUUUGAAAAUCGGAAUUUUGAAGAAUUAUUUAAAGAUGGAAUUUUAAAAAUAAAUAAAUAAUAAUAAUAAUAAUAAUAACGAAAAUAAUAAUGAUUAGAUAAAUAAAUAUGAAAAUUAGAAUUUUGGAAAUUGGAAAUUAAAUUUGGAAAUUGGAAUUUUGAAGACUUAUUCGAAAAUUGAAGUUUUGAAAAUUAGAUUUAAAAAUUGGAAUGUUGGAAAAUAAUUUUGAUAUUAAAAUAUGAAGAAAUAAAAAAAAUGAGUUGCCAUAGUUGGGAUUGCAAGCCAAAGGUGGCCAUGCAAGGCGUGGGCCCGGGUGCAAAAGUGGGGUAUGAAGAGUACCAAGGUGGGGCUGGAAGUGCACUUGAAGCUGCCUUGAAUUCCAAGCAAUGAUGAGAUUUGGGUUUGAUGGAGAAGGUGUUGGACAUGUAACCAGCCAUGUUGGAGUUUCUAAGUGUCUGGGCCUUCAUGAUCCUCUCCAUGUUUGCAACCCAACCAUACUCUCCUGUGACUAAGCAGCAUGGGAAAUCCACUACAUGGUCAGAAACUACAACUUUUUCAACUUUGUCAUUGAGCACAUCAUUUAUCGCCUUGCGGAAACACUCAAACUUCUCCUUCAAAGCUUCCUAUUUCUUUUUCUCAUCCUCACUCUCAUCAAAUUUGAGUCCCUCAUUGGUUGCAGGGACAAGCUUCUUCCCCUCAAACUCUUUCAAGUGCCCCACUACAUACUCAUCAAUGGUGUCAACCAUGAACAAAAAUUCAUAACCUUUCUUCUUCAGGUUUUCAAGAAAUUAAGAACUCUCCACAGCUUUCUUGCUUUCUCCCAUGAUAUAAUCCCUAAGACUGGUCAGCUCAUCUCCGCUCUUAGUGGAGUGGUAGUGAAGCCAUUCAGCAAGCUUACCUUUGUCUUAGGAAUCCUUGACCUGUUCACACUUUCUGGGUGUUUUCAAAGCAUCUUUCUUAGAUGAUCUGAACCUAUUUCCAUGAAAAAGGUGCUUAUCCUCAUUCACCUCCAUAGCUCCAUCAAUUUCAUUCACUUCGACAACCAUCCCUCCAUUAAUCUCUCCCCAUAAUGGAGCAUGGUAAGCAGGCCAUGCAAUCAUAGAGAUGAAAAAGAUAACCGAGAGGUCCGAUAGAGGCUUAGGUAUGGGCGGAUGGCUGCAAACGUGUAGGGAAUAGGUAGAAAGGAAUUUCAUGGGAACCAACUUCUUCACUGGCUUAUCCAAAUGUCCCGUAGCCAAUCUCUAACAUCAUCAGCUAGUGAUACACACAAUGUUAUGCAGCCGGGAUACCCACAGAAAACAGAGGAGGAUAACCAAGAAAGCAGAGCAUGGAGAACAUAAACAAAAAUGAACCAAUGAAAGCCACAUUUCACGUUUUAUUCAAAAGGGUUCAGAUUGGUGGGAGGAAGGCAAUCAAAUUGAAACAAGAAAAAGAUAACCAAAUCUCCAAACAAGGGCAAGUGAAACAGAGCUUCAUUGGGUUCAAAUAAUACUAAAAAAGACUGUGACUGAAACAGGAACAACGAUCAUAUUGAACAAAUCAGAAAUCAGCAAAGCUCAUGGGCAACCUAUAUUACUCAUGACCAAGCAAUCACACAAAGCCCUAAACAGCCAAAAGGAGAAGAGAAAAAAAAACGUUGGUAGUGAAAGUAAAAGGAAAGAUGCAUAGUGAGCUUACCUAAGAGCUCCUCCAAAGCAAAGAGAGCCACUGAGAGCUCCUCUAAAGCAAAGAUAGUUCGACUUCUCAAUGCUCUUCCUCCACAACUUUUGUUCAUUCCAUCUCCCAUAUAUCUUUUUCUCUCAAGCCCUCCCAAAAUCUGCAUCCGAAAAGCUCCUCCCUCUACGUAGCUUUCUCUCAGUCCUCGGAUAUCACCCUUCGAAAAGCUCCCCCUCUAUUUCUCCUAUUCCCGUUCUUUUCUUCUGUCCAGCUUUCACCCAUUUUUCUACUCACCCCACUCCUAUGUCCUCUAUUCAGAAUAUCCCAUUAUGAGCGUAGAGGUAGGCAGUCCUCUAUGAAUAGAUGUGAUCCCAUGCAACCCUUCAUCACUUCAAGAAACCGGCCCCCACUCAUUCCUACAACAAGCUGCUAGCUAUCUGGGUGUGAGAAAAAAUAAAUAAAUAAAGCCUUCUCCACAAAGGGGUCUAUAGAAUGAUAUAUAUUAUGUUCAAUUUUAUUUGUUUUUUAUGGGGUUUUUUUUUAUAAAAAAAAUUUCUAUAUUUUUUUUUUGUUUUUAAAAAUGGGUGAAAACAACAUUUACUUUUUCUCUAAAAACUAUUAUCUAUUUCACUUUGUUUUUAAAAACUGUUUCUAGAAAACAACGACCAAAUAGUAUUGAGAACUUUUAAAAAUAGUCUUAUGUUUUUAAAAAUAGAAAAACAUUUUUAAAUUGUAUGGUGAUAGACUCUUAGAUUGUUUGCUUUUAACUUCUUUUUUUACUUAUUAUCUUUUUUUUUGAAUUUUUUAACUGAAUAAAAAGAAUAAAAAUAUUUGAUUUUUUGCUAAAUACUAAAAAUAAUUUUUUGAAACAAUCAAAACACAAUUUUUACUCUGUUAAUACUUAAUAUUUAAUUGAAAUAAAAUAAUAAGAAAAUAAACAAGUUUAAACAAGUUAAUACUUAAUACUAUGAAGUUGUAUUUAAAAUUAAGUUUACAUUUAAUAAUAAUAAUAAUAAUAAUAAUAAUAAAGGACAAAUACCAUCUUAAGUCUCACAUUUUGUUCUUUCACAAACCUUCAAUUUCCUUCAUUGGAUAUGCUCUGCAUUAGUGGGCACAUUCCAAUCCUAGGAACCACAUGCCUUUUUGUAUGACUAACCUGCUUUUUGUCAAUUGUAUCACUCUCUCUUGUGAGUAGUCACAUCUUGAUAUUGAUUUGUUGAAACCACGGUAUUAUGGUGGGCUUGAGCGUAAUUUGAACCCAAGACCUCUUAGUUGGUAUAUUGGACCAAGGUCUCUCCUAAAAGUCCAACUUCGAAGUUCUAAGUUCCAUGUUUAGGAAAUAGAAUCAAUGAGUAAUUUGCGAGUAUAUAAAUAUGCCUGCAGUCCACAAACCAAAAGAAAAUCUUAUUAACUAACAAACCUCAAUCAAAUCUAAACAUUUAAUGUAAAUCCAAAAAUUAGUGUGCUAAAACCUCACUUUUUGAAUUAAUGAAAAAAAAAAUUGCAAAGUAGUUUUAAAACAAUUCAUAAUGUGAUUAGGACACUACAUAAUGUUAGGUCUCAUAAAAGUCCUCUUUACGCUUAGUUUCCCUAUUGGAUAAUUUAUUCCUAACUUAUAUGGUGAUGUUUGAAAAAUUGAUGGACUUUGUAGCCAUCUAGAAUAGCCAUUCUUCAUGUCUUAGAGGCUGCAAAUCCUCCUUACCAUUAGCACUAGAUUUUUUAAACUAGACUUUGCAAGUUGACUUGCUGACCAUAGUUAACAUAACAAUUAAGUCCUACAUUUUUUAUGAUUUAUAAUUAUUAGUCAUUUUAGCCAAAACAAUAAAUUUAUGAACAAACAUUUGUCAUUAUGAAGGGAACAAACUAUACAUGUGAUUGCUAGUAGGCCAUAAUUGACAUUCCUACCAAAUGAAAAUAUUUCACUUGAUAAAUAAAUUAAAAGGGAAUAAUUUUAUUCUUUAAAAAAGCUUUCUAUAAAAGAAAAAUAUACUAGACCAGUACAUCUCAUAUUCUAGUAGAGAAACUUAGACAAAACUUUACAAUAAAAGGUUUUUAUUCCUAAUUUAACAACUGCCUAACACCACUAACCCAUUUUUCCUAUUAAAUGACAAAAAUUCAUGAACUAUCCAAAUGUUAUUAAUUAUAAGGCUCAUUUUGUUUAGAUUUUAAGAAUUCGUAUGCUAGUAAUUUUAAGAAAUAUUUUUAAUACUUUUAAUAUUUCUAAUAUUUGAAAAUUUGUAUAUUUCAAGUAUUAAAAUAUAAAAAAUACUUUUUAAAAUUAAAGAUCAAUUUGUAUUAAAAAAAUAAUAGAUUAAAAUUUUAAUAUCUAUGUUUUGGUUAUUAUUGUGUUAAAAAAAAAAUUAACAGUGCAAUGUAUUAAAUAUUGUAUUGUUAAUUUUGAAACUCAUAAUAAGAAUUUUGAACCCUAAAUUACUAAACAAGGUAGUAACUUGGACGGGUUAGAAGGUUAACCAACCAUCAAUAUGUCCAACCCAUGCUAAAUCUAACCCAAGUUCAGGUUAGAAAUUCUCAAUUCACAUCAAACUUGGAAGCAAUUUAGAUUACCAGAGAUUCACACGAGUUAUCAAAUAAAAUAAAAUAAAAUUAUUUCAUAGCCAACCUGAAUAUUAGAUUAGGCACAGGUUAGGCAGGUUGAACUCGUCAUCAAGGGUGAAAUUAUCUUGGCCAAUAUAGAUUAAGCUUGCUAGCCACAAUUUUAGAAAUUUCAGAAUCAACCUUGCAUAAAUACUAAAAUGUAAAUCGAGACAAUUCCAUUUUUUUGAUCCCUCUCUUAAUAUUGGCAUACACGUAGGCCUUAGCUAUCACCGAAUAGGCAUCGGAGUUGGUGAUGCCAUUGCCAUCCUAACUCGUAAUUGAAUUCGAGUAAAAUAUUAGAUUGAGAAUUGGGAAUUUGAAGCCAAUUUGUCGACUAAAGCUUUGGGUAAAACCAAGGCAAAGCAACUCACGACUUCCUACAAAUCGUCGCUGCAAACGUACUUCUCCCAUUCCAAAAAACUCACGACUUCCUACACGUCGUAGCUGCCUGCUCUAGCAUAUAAUUCCAAAAAACAAGUUAAGCCAAUCAACCUUUCCAUGUACCCACCUACUACAUGCUACCAGAUAAAUUUGAUUUGAAGGCUACCAACUAGUCCAGACAUUAAUAAACUUAAUAUAAAUUAUUGGUUCAUUCUCAUUGCCUGCUGGCCGAUGAACACAGAAUUGGGAAAAUUAUGUUUUGGGCCUAACUGGGUCUAAAAAUUAAGCAUUAAGCUGUGGUUCAUAUAUGUUCCAUAUUUAAGUCUAACACCCAAUAAAAGAGUAAAAAUUGAGAGUAAAGAUAUUGUCUUUUAAAAAUUCAUAAAAUACCCUUAACCAUUAAAUGAAAAAACUAACAAAUCACCUCAUCUUUUUCAUUCUCUCUUUGACUCCUUUGUCCUUCUCUCACCUAUUUAAUAGUGGAAUCAACUUGAAUUAUUUUUCUUCAUCAAAUAUGAAAGAUGGUUAAAAAUUAUUAUUACCAAAUGUAUUUUUGAAGUGAAUAACUUUUAAAUACCUCAUCAAAUAUUAUUCUUUUUUCCAAACUUACAUAAUAUAUAAUAAAUAUUUUUUAAAUAUAUUGAAAACUUACUUAAUAUAUAAUAAAUAUUAUUUUUGUUUUCAAACUUAUAUUAUUUCUCAUAUAUAUUAAAUAAUUUUUAAACACCUCAUAAAAUAUUAACAUUAUUUAUUUGUUCUAACUUGUAAAUUAGAUAUCAUCAAAUAUUAUAUUUUUUCAAAUUUAUAGAACAUAUAAUAAAUACUUUUUAAAUACCUCAUAAAAUAUUAUUAAUUUUUUUUUCUAACUUGCAAAUUAAACACAUGGUGUUUAUUAUUUUUUCGUAAAUAAUGUAAACACUCACAUGCAUAUAUAUAUAAUUAAGAAGACAAUAUUUUUAAGACUAAUUUACCAACUUUCCAAUAAUUUUGAAAGUGUAAAUAGGAUAAUUGGCCGAAUUAAGGUCUUCAAAAUAUUCAAAAUUUCUCAAUUCCAAAAUUACCUAAUUGCUCUUCACACUAAUCCUAAAUAUUUUUCAAUAAAGAUUUAAAUAUUUAAAACCAUUAAAAUAAAUACUUUCUUAUUAAAGCAAUUUUUUCAAAGUAAUAAGAUAAAAAUCAUGAAAUCUUCAAAACUAUAAUUACAACAAAUAUUUUUAACUUUAAAACUAAUUUCAUAAUUUAAAUUAAUGAUUUUAAAAAAUAAAAAUGUUAUAAAAAUAAUUUUUGUUUAUUUUUAAUGCCAUUUAAAUAUGAUUUUUUUAAUCUCUAUUGAUAGCAAUGAAAUUAUAUUUAUAAAGGCAAAAUAGUAAAAAUAUAUAUUUCAUUUAGUUUACUUAUAAUGAACAAUUCAAACAUGAUUGAUUUUAAUUUUAUUUCCUAUAUGUUAAUUUUUGUAGAGAAUAUCUUAAUGACAUAGUUUGGUAAAAAAAGAAUUACAAAACUAUCAAUAAUCGUCUUAAUGUCAAAUUCAAGUUGUUUAAAAAUCAUACAAAACCUAUUAGAAGUCUUGUACACCCUUGUACACUUAACACAUUUCCCUUGUACAGUUAGUGUAAUACCCUUGUACAAUGACACAAAUUUCAUAUAUCUCCUAAUUUAUAUGUCCAUGUAGGUGUAUUAAUCAUAUUUUCAAUGAUUUGGUUGAAAAAAUGAUGGAUGACUUAGGGUCAAUUUUUUUUCCCCAAAUAUCAUUAUUGAGAAAAAAAAUAUUGGAAUUUUCAUGUAAGAGUUAAAUAAAGUGCAUGACAUAGGUGUACAAUCAUUGGGUGACAAGGAAAAUAAAAAAGUAGUUUAUAAUCAAUUAAAAUCAUUUACAAAGGAUAAUCUUGUACACCUUUAUACAAUUAGUACAUUUCCCUUAUACAGUUAGUGUAAUACCGUUAUAUAAUGACACAAAUUUUGUAUCCCUCCUAAGUUAUGUGUCCACGUAGGAGUGUUUAACCAUAUUUCCAAUGAUUUAGUUGAGAAGAUGGUAGAUGAUUUAAGGUCAAAAAAAAUUUUCUUCAAAUAUUAUUAUUAGGAAAAAUAUUGGAAUUUUCAUGCGGGAAUUAAAUAAAGUGGAUGACAUAUGUGUACAAUUCGUGAGUGAUAAAAAAAAAAAAAAAGGAAUGACUCAUAAUCGAUUAUAUAUUUCACAAAGAGUAACCUUAUACACCUUUAUACACUUAGUACAUUUCCCUUGUACAGUUAGUAUAAUACAAUUGUAUAGUGACGCAAUAAAUGAAUAAAUAAAAUUUAUUAUUUUUUUAUUUUCAUAUAAAAAAAAUAGUACUAAACAAGGUUUUCAAUUUUCAUUUUAAAAAAUAGUUUUCAUUUUUUAAUUAAAAAUAUUUUAAAAAAGAGACAAUACAGAAAAUAAAAAUUAUUUUUAAAAAUAAAAAAUAAAAACUAGAAAAAUAUUUCAAAACCAAACUCAAAUAUAAUCUAUAUAAUUUUUAACUAUUUGUUUUCAUCUAAAAUAAGUAAAUAUACCUUUCAAUCCUUUUAUAUAAGAAAAAUUCAAUCUUUAUUAUGUAUUGAUAUAAUUUACUUCUAAAGUUAGGUCAUAUGAAAACAUUUUAAUUGAGUACUUAAAAUAAGAACUUUCCAUCCAUCCUCUUUCUUUCCUUUUCUUUUUCUUAUUUUAAUAAAUUUUCAAUUAAUUCAAAUCAUUAAAAAAAAAUCAUUAAUAAACAAAUUUGUAACAUUUCAUAUAACUUAUUACUAAAAGUCAUGUUCAAAAAGUUAUUAAAAUAAGGAAGAAAAAAGAUUAAAAAAAUUAAAAUUUUUAUUUUAUAAUAGUAAAAAAAAACUUUAAAAUACUUUUUAAUAUAAACAAAAUUAAAACAGUGAAUAUAUUUAUUUUAAAUAGUAUUUUAAUCAUUAAAUUAUUUACUUCUAAAAUAUAAAAGAUAAAAAUAAAUGUAAACUAUAAUUUUAUUUAUUUAAAUUAAUAUUUUUUUAGAAAGUAUUUUCCAAAAUAGUCUUUGAAUCAUUAAUAUAAUUUUUGUUUAUUUAUAAUUUAAAAAUAAAAAACAAUGUUGAUUUUUUAAUUAUUUAUAAAAGAGUUUUAAAAAAUAAUGAAAAAUCCAAAAAUUGUUAAAUAAGAAAAAAUAGUGGCAUGUGAAGGGUGAUAGAAUAAAGACAAAAUUGAGUCAAGUAAGUAUUUUUGUCUAUUCCCAUCUCAUAUCCUUGUAAUCAAUUAUGGGUGUUUGAAGGACUCUUUAUUAAUUAUCAAAGUCAAAUGGGUCUAAAGCUCAAUUAUCCCCACAUAAUUCAAUUGUAUACUAUAUACCUAAUAGAAGAUUUUGUUGUAGAAACAUAAUUGUUCAUAUAUCUACACCUAAGACCUCAUGUACUGCAAAACUUUUACGUGAUUGUAACCUUAAAAUUAUUUUAACUCAACUGUUUCUUGUGUCCAACAUGCUACUUGAAUUACAUGUUCUUGGUGCCAAUUUUUUGGUAGAGAAUCUUUUUCUAAAAAGGGAAAAAAAAAAAAGUAUGUCGGUUUUAUAAAAAUUGCCUAAAAUGGCCUACAAGGGUAAUAAUUUAUAUGUAUUAAAUAGAUCGAAUUCUUGUUUUCACAAGACUUGUGGAGGAGAAACAUUUGAUUUUAAUUAGCAUUAAGAGCGUACUGGCUCUCACUGUUGUAAACUUGUGGGGAGGUAUCUUAUCUUCAGCAUGAUGCUGAAUUUGGGAAAAAAAUCAAAAUUCUUUCGGUCAUAUGCAAUGAAUUUGAGUUAUGUACGCAACCCGACAACUACUAGUCAGUAUGCAACAGAAGACAACUACAAGUCACCGUGCAUUCACGAGAAGAGAUGUAAAUAGGCUGGCUCUGAUCGACUAGACCGCACUUAAAACACAAGGCAAAGGUGCUCACAACUUCCGCCAAUUCGUCACUACAAACGUUACAGCUAUCUUAUUUACUGUCCACUCUUCCAACUCCGUGCCUUAUUUAAGCAUUCCAAGGCGAUUCCCAACACAAAUUAACCCAAUCAUUCACAGCAUAGAUCCACGCUCUACCAAGUUUCUAGCAAAUUAUCCAGUACCUACCAUUCAGCAGCCAAAUAAUGCAAGCCCAAAUCCUCCUGGUAACUUAUCCGGCACAAGGCCACAUCAAUCCAUCUCUCCAACUAGCUAAGCUCCUCACACGUGCUGGUGCCCAUGUCACCUUUGUCACUAGCAGCUCUGCCAGUACCCGCAUGUCCAAACCCCCAACCCUGGAAGGGUUGGAAUUUGUGACAUUCUCGGAUGGCUAUGAUCACGGAUUCAAACACGGGGAUGACCUCCAAAACUUCAUGUCCGAGCUUGACCGUCUCGGGUCCCAAGCUCUUACCGAGCUCAUCGUGGCCAGAGCAAAUGAAGGUCGUCCCUUUACUUGCUUACUCUACGGUAUCAUAAUUCCUUGGGUGGCAGAGGUCGCCCAAAGCUUUCACCUCCCAUCUGCACUCGUUUGGAGUCAAGCUGCCACUGUUUUUGAUAUCUACUACUACUAUUUCAAUGGUUAUGGAGAGCUCAUUGGGAACAAGGGCAAUGGCUCCUCUUCUUCCAUUGAAUUACCAGGGCUCCCCUUGCUCAGUAGUAGUGAUCUUCCCUCAUUUUUAGAGCCCUCAAAAGCAAUUGCAUUCAAUUUUGUCCUCAAAUCGCUUCAGAAGCAACUAGAGCAGCUCAACCGUGAAAGCAACCCGAGAGUACUGGUAAACAGUUUCGAUGCAUUAGAGUCCGAGGCCCUAAGAGCUCUCAAUAAGUUUAAGUUAAUGGGAAUUGGACCCUUGCUUCCAUUGGCUUUCUUGGAUGGAAAAGACCCAUCCGAUACUUCAUUUGGAGGCGAUCUUUUCCGUGAUUCAAAGGACUAUAUCCAGUGGCUGAACUCAAAGCCUGAAUCUUCUGUCAUUUAUGUAUCAUUCGGAAGCCUCUCGGUGUUAUCAAAGCAACAGUCAGAGGAAAUUGCUCGUGGACUGCUAGCCAGCGGGCGGCCAUUCUUGUGGGUCAUAAGAGCCAAAGAAAAUGGGGAAGAAGAGAAAGAAGAUGAUAAACUGAGUUGUGUUGAAGAGUUGGAACAACAAGGGAUGAUAGUUCCUUGGUGUUCUCAGGUAGAGGUUUUGUCACAUCCUUCAUUGGGAUGUUUUGUGUCACACUGCGGUUGGAAUUCAACUUUAGAGAGCUUGGCUUGUGGGGUGCCAGUGGUGGCAUUUCCUCAGUGGACUGAUCAAACUACAAACGCGAAGCUGAUUGAAGAUGUGUGGAAGACGGGUCUACGGGUGAUGGUGAACCAAGAAGGAAUAGUUGAAGGUGGUGAGAUCAAGAAGUGCUUGGAAUUGGUCAUGGGAUGUGGAGAAAAGGGGCAAGAGGUGAGAAGGAAUGCCAAGAAAUGGAAGGAUUUGGCAAGGGAAGCUGUGAAAGAAGGUGGAUCUUCUGACAAGAACCUCAAGAAUUUUGUGAAUGAAAUUAUACAGGGUUAUUAGUAAAGAUGCAACACAAAAAAAAAAAAAAAAAAAAGGAAGAAUGAAUAAGACAUGUUUGAUUUGGUGAUAUUUAAGUUUAUAAGUGGAAACUAUUGUUAAAAAUUGAUCCCAAAAAUUGUAUGAUACCAGAUUUUAUUAUGGUUGUCAUAAUUUUUCUCUCCCUAUAAAAGUAAGCAAAAAUGCAUUAGUGAAGAAUGCACAAAAUACAUCAUCCAAAUCAGGAAGAUCUAUCUUCAUGAAAAAUUUUAAAAAAAAAAAUCAAAUUUAAGUGUUUUCUAAAUUUAUGUGUGAAUAAAAUUUUAUUCAUUAAUCCUAGUUAAAAUCUUUCCGCUAGAAAAUGGGAAGGAUACCAUUAAUGUUUUGACACGUUUUUAAAAUGUUUGUCAAACUAAAUUAUGGAAGAUGAAUGUGAAUAUGUCUUGGCAAAUCAAGUUGAGAAGCCUGUCACUUUUUGUCUUGCAAUGAGAGAAUCCUUUGUCAAAUGAAGGUAACAAUAUUCCCAUCGAUUAAUGUUUUGAAAACGAGCCAAUCAAUUUAUGUUUUCCAAUUGGAAAAAUCUAAUGCACCAACCGGUACUUAUUGACCUUCGAAUCUACACUAUUCAAAGGGUAUCAUAAAAUUUCAAUGAUUGAACAAUAGUGUAAAGGAAUGACAUAAGUUGUAAAAAAAAAAAUUGAUACAAGGCAUAAUGGAAUAACAUCGAGGUAGAAAACAAUGGAAUCUCAUAUAUGAUACAAAUAUGUAUUGUAUAUGACUUCAAUACAAAGGAAUGAGAGUUGAAUUGGUGGCACCACUUAAUUACUAUAAAAAAGAUACCAUUUGUCAUUGGAGCAAUAUUUUUUAUUAAUUUUUGUUGAAGUCCAACUUAACAAGAUCUCUCAUUGACAAGAGGAAUCAAACCUAUCAAUUUGGUUUUGAACUCUUCUAAAUUGGAAAUUCUAAUCCAUCUUUGUAAUAUUGAAUAUGUUCUCCUUCGAAAUCAGAUUCACAUCUUUAUCUAUAAGUACAUUCUCAAAUUUUAAAAAUACUCGAAUAAUCAAAUGUAUAAGUGAUGAUUUAUUUCGAAAUGGAUUAUUUUGGACAAAUGACUAUUUCGAUUAGUCUCCUAAAUACUUAAAAUUAGAUAAAUUAAUAACCAAUCAAUCUCACAUGAACAAGUUGUUAUAGAGAGUAGCUUAAACCUCUGCAUAUGAAAAAAUCAAAAGUCCAUUGAUCAUGGAAAAUCCAUUACAUGUAAAAGAAAGUGCGCAAGUUUACUUGGUUCAAACGCUAGUUAUUCUAUGAGACUUAUACCAAUCAAUAAAUACUUUCUUUUUUCACAUCUAUGACAUAGAACACCCCAUGCUCCUUAAGAGACCAUUUCAAACGAUAUUGAGGGUUAGCAAUUCAAAUUCUUGAUCUCUAGUUUUCAUCUGUGAAAGGAUUUCCAAGAUUUUCUUAAGAAAAAGCCUCUUUAAGUGUUUAAGUUAGAAUAAUGACUACUCUUCAUUUUUUCAAAGGUUUUUCCAAAAUAUAUUUUUAAACUAAGACCAUAAAUUUUUUAUUGUAUUAAAUAAGGAAAACAUUUUCAUUAAAAAAACAUAUAGUUCUUUUGUAGUUUUUUUAAAAAAUUCAAAUAUAUAUGCAAAGAUCUUGAUCCUUCCAUAGUGAGACUUGAGUGUCCUUUGUUAAAUGUUUGGGCAUCCAAGGUUGUUUUCCUCAUUUUUCAUAUAAUAUUCUACAUGGCCACUUUCAUGUAGUAAUGGAAACGGGGCGGGUUUGGGAGAGGUCAUUCCUAUAUAUCCCAUUCCCACCCCUGAUUACACAAUUAUUUCCCAUCCCCGGUACAAACCCGAGUCAGGGCAAGUUGAUUGGUUCCACAAAAUGAUUAGUAACCCCAUCCCCGCCCAAUCCUAGAUGUCCAUUGAGCCCUAAUCCUAAUUGAUCAUACUUAAAUGCACUUUCCUUUCAUUGUAAAAUAACGAAAUUCUGAUAAUAUACAAAAUAUGAAAAAAUAAUAUCAAAGUUCAAAUUAACACCACAACAAUCUAUAAUAUUAAACCCAUAAUUAGCAUAAAUGAUUGAAAAUUAAUCUAAAAAGCAAAACACACACACACACAAAUUCACCUUAACAAUGAACCAAACGAGAACAUGGGUCAACAUCAACCAUGGGUUUGAAUUCCUCUUCAGGCCAAUCUUUGAAACAAGACUUCAUCAAAUCCACUACUUCAAAGGCUUUCGCAUUCCUCUUGAGUUGUGUUCUCGAAUAAAGACUUAAAGGUGAUGUUCUAGAUGAUUGUGUCGCACAUAUUUAGGAUAAGAAGAUCGGGGCCUAUGACCAGUUUGAUGUCAUGUUAGAGGAGUUUGGGCGCUGAGGCAUAACCAAGAACAAGAUGGAAUUGAUUUCAGAGUAUUUUAGUUGGUAUGAGGAAGGAAGAAGAAGUGGUAUUAAUCUUAGAGAUAGGGUUUCAGGCAGUGUAUCAGAGGAAGAAGAAGCAACAGCCGUUGAAAUUAGAGCUUUUUCUUAUAUUUCAUACCUGUCCCAAUAGGGAUAAGGCACGGUGGGUUACCCGGGUUACCCACAAAAUUUCCAUCCUUAUUUUCAUGUGCUUUCAAGCAUCCAUUAAUUCCUUUUUAUUUCUAAUUGCGACUGAAAUGUUUAUGUUAGCACACAUUAAUUUGACCUAAGUUCAACUCAAGGUCUACUUACCAAGCUUUAAUUGUAAAGUCUUCAACUUGAACAUGGCAUGUAUAAAUCUCCAUGGUAGUAAAGUAGUUUCAAACAAAUAACUUUUGGAGCAAAAUUUUCAGCUUAAACUAAUAUGCGUCUAUGGCACUCCCUCUCCUGGAAAGUUAUCUCUACCAAAAACCACCUCUAACCAACCUACUAUGUGUCUACCUUGCAAAGAAUAUCUCUACCGCUCCCUGAAAACCGCCACUACUCCCACUCACUCUCUUGACAACUCACACUCUCUAGUUGGCAUCUAGAAUAUUGACAACUCACACUCUCUAUAAUUGUUUUAUCAUUCUUAAAUUUCUUAUAUUUGUCAUUUUUAUGACAAAAAGGGGAAGUAAAAAAAGGGUUUAUUAAGUUUAUUGAUUAUAUUAUUAUUUUUUUCAUUUUUGCUAUCCUAUGCUUUUCAAAAGUUUAUUGUUUAAGUGUGUGUGUGUAGAUUAUAGGAAAUUGACAUCACUAUGUAAGAAAUGGUUUAAACUAAGAUUAGGAUUAGGUUCGAUGAGGUUUUAUGAGAGUUAUGGGAGACCUCACUAUAUCUUUUUAUUUUGUAACAAAAUUGUCAAAUGGGAAAUUGAUUCUUAGGGUAUUUUAUUUAGCUAACAAAUUUGUUCAUUUCUUACUAAUUAGAUGCAACUUACUUCCUUGGGUCUUAUAAAUUUCAAGACAACUUUAGACUUCAUCAAUUUCAUAUUUGGGUUAUUCGUAAAAGUUAAGGUAAGUAUAUAUUUAUGGUUGACAAAGCUUAUAAAAUAUCUAAUACAAGAAAUUAGGAAGAAAAUACUUUCUAUUUAAUUUGCUUAUUUGAACUCUAUUAUAUUUUUAAUUCCAAAAAUUGUUUUUGAUAAGUUUUAAAAUUAUGCUCUCUAAAUUUGUGUUUGAUUCUAAAAAGAAUUCUUGAAAUAUUUUUUAGAAAGUUUUAAAAUUGUGAUUAUCUCUAAAUUAAUAUUUCAUUCUAAAAAUGAUCUUUAGAAUACUUUAGAAUUAGGAAACUCUUCAUAAUUCUAAAAAGGGUUUUAUAAAUAUAAAUCGAGAUAUUUUAUUUAAAAGGUAAGGUGUGGACUUUUAUAAACUCUAAAAGAGCAUAGUCAUUCAUCAAAAGUUUGAUCAUUCAAUUCUCAAAUUUUCAAGAUCUUUUUUAAGAGUGAAUUUCAACUACAACAAAGGUGAGAGAUCUCAUUACAAAACUUUGAUAAGGGCUUUGAGGGAUCUACUAAGGAGCACAGGGGAGUGCUAGAUCAAUGACGUGGAAAAAAUGUGUAAGUGUUGUCAGUAUAAGACCCUAGAGAAUAGGUCCAUCUGAUCAGGUAAAAUUAUAUACUCUUUUCUCAUAUUUAGUGGAUUAUUUAGUAGUCGAGAAACCACCCAUGGUUUUUUACACCUAGUAGGUUUCUAGAUGGAUUUUCCACAUAUUAUAUCUCGUGUUCAUUUAAGUGAUUGAUUUUAUUUAUAUUUCCAUGAGAUUUUUCUUCUCUUUUAAGAAUUAAUAUAAAUGGAUAAACCUAAAAUAAGUAAUACAAUAUCAAUUUAGGGAUUGAUUCAAAGACUACAACUUCUAGGUAGUUCCAUUAUAUCAAGACUGAACAUAAACUUCCUUUCAUAACCUUUUGAUCUCAAUAAAGGGAACAAAAAAUUCAAAUUUCAAAUGUUGAGGUCCCUUUAAUGCAUGUUUUCAGCAUUUUCCUUUCUUUUACCUUUCUUUCUAAAACAGAGCCAUGAUCAAUAUAACCAAUUAAGAGAAAAAGAUGCCAUGAGAAAUCACAACAAGUUCAAAUAAUGACAAAGUGGUUUAAUUGUGAUAAGCAAUUUCCUAGUUGCUCCUCCAUCAUACCCAUAAAAUUAUAGUCCAAAUGUCGAAGUCAUAACCAAAAUGUUAAAUUUCUUUUUCUCCCCCUCAGAGCUAUCCACUAUUGAAGCUUGACAUAGUUUGUUCGAACUCAUUGACAUCAAGUCCAAGUGAUAUAGAUUUUCUCACCUAAUACCAUAACCAAUCAACUAUCCUGUUUGGAUGUCCUUAAACACACAAAAUCCAAGACAAAAGAAUACAAUAUAAGAUAAGGUUGUGGUUAUUUGAAAAACUAGCAAAAGGUUAUAAUUAAAAUACCAAACAACUAAAGUAAAAUCUAAAUUCAAAGUAUUAUUAAAGGUCAAGGAUAUUUCCCCAAUGAUUGGGAUGGAAGUACCAUUGGCAAUAGAAAAAAAUUUGUGAUGACAAUUUAAGAAGUGAAAUAUGUCUAGAAUCAAAUAUCUUAUGAUGUGUAGCACCACAAUCAAUUAUCCAUGCAUAACUAGAAACAAGUGUGGACAUAUUUAAAAUCUUACUACCAUUGUUUGCAACUACUACCAAUAUUAAGGCUUUUUUAGCAACUUCAUCCUUCGUCUUUCUUUGAACAAUUGUGGUAGUAGAGAUUUCUUUGGAAUUCUACUUUUGUGGAUAACGACUAUGAUCCCACCAUUCCGGAUAUUCCACAAGCUUAAAACAUCCACUUAUGUUAUGACUAGUUUGAUUACAAUGAUUGCUUGUAGGUAGACUUGUUUGACACCAUUGGUGGUUUUAGGAUGGUCAAGCUUCGUUUGAUCCUGUUGGUUUUGAGAAGACCAGUUUUGGUUAAACCAAUUUCUAGCUACCAUAGCAAAAGCUUACGAGUUUUCGGACUUGCCUUUCAAAGUGGUGAGAGGUAUUACCUUGCAACAAACCAGAAAAUAACAUUCCUCUAAAUUUUUAACUUGUUCUUUGCACAAAAUCUCUCCAUGGAUUUUUUGAAAAUCACCAUCCAAUAUAUCCAGCUAGAAAUAUGUGUUCCCUUAGCUAUUUAAUAGAUUUUUUGUACACUAUAAUGUCAUCAACAUCCUUUAUGACCACUUUUUAACAAUGGUCCAAUUCUAAAAAAAUUUCAAUCAACACUCCAUAAUAUUUAGAGAGAGAUUUUCUACUUUGUUUGGUCGUAAAGGACGUUUAAUUCAAAGAGAAAACUUGUAAAUUGUCAUUUCCAUCAUAAAAGGCCUUGGAGAAAGCACUCAAGAUUUCAUGGUCGGGUAGUGGGUAAGCAUAAAUAACGCUUCGUAAUUUCUAGAAUCAUGGAUAUGAAUAGCCACCUCUUAGCCUUCUGAUUUUUUUGCAUACCACUUCUCAUAUUCAUCUUCUAAUUCCAUAGGUGACUUUGUCUUGCCACAAAUAGACAAGAGUUUCUCUCUCUUCACAAUAUGCAUCUUCAUCAAUUGGGACCAAACGUCAUAGUUUGAUUCAAUAAGAAUGAUCCUUGCAUUAAAAACACAUUCAAAUUUAAUUACAGAAGGAACUGAUUUUGUCCCAAAAGAUUGAAUAUUUUUUUUCACUCAUUUUGAUUCAUAGAAAAAAAAAUCAUAGAAAAAAAAAAUUGCAGAGAUUUCAAACUUUGCUCUAAUAUUAACUAAAAAUAUGGGGAAUAAUUCUUUUCAUUCUUAAUCUUUGAUGAACCUAUAAAUUUUUAUAUAGAUAGGAAUUAUGAUCAAAAUACCUAAAAUCAAUCCCUACAAUCAAGUUUAAAUAAUUUGUUCACACCAACUUACACCUAUAUAUAUUUUCUCUAAAUUAGGAAAGAAUUAUUAAAGAUAUUACAAGAUUUGUUGACAAUCUCAACAGGUGGCAAAGCCACAUGAAGUAGGAGCUCCCAAAAGGAUUGCUCAAGGAUUUUAUGGUUAUUAUAAGAUGCCCUUAAUUUAAUUUCCAAGAAAGAAAAAAUUUAUCCAUGCCAAAAUAAUAGCAAAAUAAAAGAAAAAGAAAUAGAGGAGGAAAUACAAACAUAAACAAAGUUUACCUUUCUACAAUUUAUAGAUGCAUUUGUUAUAGCAUAUCAAUGAUCAUGAAGUAAUUAACCUACCAUGUUAUUUAUUUUUAUAAUUAAUUAAUUCUUGAAGAGAUUAUAAAUAUGAAUGGAUGAUUAAACCACAUCAAUAUACCACUUUCUCAUAUAAGAUAAUUCAAUAAAACAGAAAUUGUGGAAAAAAAAAAUUAUGGGAUUGACAGUCAAAACAUUAGUAUCAAACUAUUCAAUGUAAAAUCAUGGAAAAUUGGGAGAUAAAAGGAGUAAUGUCUAGGUAAAGGUAAUCAUUGGUAAUAAGUUCAUAUAAAGUAGUAGAAUAUUCUUUGGUGACAAACAGUAAGUCGGUUCAUAUACUUGUAAUUAUAGUUUAAUUAAAUGAACUUAUCAUAUUUUGGAUGUACGAUAUGAUUAAUAUUAUAUAAGUCUGAGAAUAUUACCCAAGCACAAGCAAAUAAAGGAGUUAGAAAAAAAAUUUAAAAAAAAAAACAAUAUAUACAUAUAUUAGGGUAAAAUAUAGAAAAAUUUUAGUUGGAGUUUAAUGGAAUAAACUUAUUGAGGAUUACGUUAGCAUAUCCUGGGUGGAGAAAAUGCCUAGAAUUAUGAUUUGUUUCGACCCUAUCAAUAUUUUGAAUCAAGCCAAAAAUAAAAGAAAAUAAAAAAUAAAAAAAAAAAAUGAAGAUUCAAUUUUAAGGUGGCUGAGAAAUAUGUCAACAUCUCAAUGUGGGGUUAUAGUCUUUUACCAUCACUUUAUCUUUCAAUAUUUCAUUAACAUCUUAUUUUAAUCUCUUGACUCAUUUGCAACCAAAAGUUUUCUAUUUUAUCGGUAAUUGAAUUAAGGUGGUAUUUGUUUUUUUAGCUUAAAGGUUAAUGCAAUUUAUUUUCAAAUUUUAAAUUGUUUGUUUUUUUUAUUUUUUUUAUUUAUUAUUUAUUUUAUUAGCAAUUAUGGUAAGCCUUGAUUGGCAAGUUUUUGGUAAGCCUUGAUUGGCUUGGUAGGCAAAUAUUAUGUUUGUAAUUUGUACAUAUUUUCUUUCUUGUUUAGUUUUACCUUGUUUAGGAGUUUUCCUUGUUUAGGAGUCUUGAUGUAUCUCUUCUCUGUGUAUAUAUAUUGGCAACCGAUGAGAAUAAAAGGACAGAAGAAAAUUGAUCCAGAAUCACCUAGAGUUUUUUCAUGGUAUCAGAGCCAUUGUGAGCUAAACAUACAUCAUCAUGGUUGGUGAUGGGAAGAAAUGAGAUGAUGAAGGGUCCAACUCUGACAAAAAAAUGCUGACCCCCUAUGCAUUGACUUCCAACGAUAAUCCAGGUAAUAUAAUUACCCAAGUUCAACUGAAAGGUGAGAACUAUGAUGAAUGGGCGCGUGUUGUGCGUACUGCUUUGCGAGCCAAAAAAAAUAUGGAUUCGUGGAUGGAUCCAUCAAACAACCAAACAACGAUUCACCUGGUGGGUCAUCAAUCCAAUGCUUGUCUCAUGGGUGUUUAACACCAUUGAACCCACACUUCGAUCAACCAUAUCUUACAUGGAAAACGUAAAGGAACUUUGGGAAGAAAUCAAGCAGCGAUUUUCUAUUGGGGAUGGUCCACGUGUACAACAAUUGAAAUCAGAUCUUGUGAAUUGCAAGCAGGAAGGGCAAGGCAUGGUUGUCUAUUAUGGUCAACUCAAGUCUCUUUGGGACGAAUUGAACAAUUAUGACUCAAUUCCAGUAUGUACUUGUAUUGGGUGUAAAUGUAACAUUACCACUCAAUUAGAGAAAAAGCGGGAAUAAGAAAGAGUUCAUCAAUUCUUGAUGGGAUUAGAUGAAGAUGGAUAUGGGACAGUACGUUCUAAUAUCCUGAGCAUCGAACCUUUGUCGAAUCUAAAUCAAGUUUAUGCUAUGAUCGUACAACAAGAACGAGUAUAGACCAUGACUCGAUCAAAGGAAGAAAGAGGCCGCCCCAUGAGUUUUGCAGUGCAGGUUGGUGGUCGAAACUCAGGAGGUGAUGGAAAAGACAAGACCGUGAUUUGCUCAAAUUGCAAGCAGAAGGGACAUGAAGCUGAUAGUUGUUUUCAACGGAUUGGUUAUCCAAAAUGGUGGGGUGACAGGCCACACACAACCACAGGUGAGCGUAGUGGUGGGCGUGGACGUGGUGUUUAAUAGGGUACAAGUGGAGGACGAGGACGUGGAGGGACUGCUAGAGCCAAUGUAGUUCAAACGUCAGGAACUGAUGGUGGGAGAAGUGUUGUGACUCAUUCUGAUAAAACAGGAAUUAGUGGGUUGAGUGACGAACAAUGGGCCACAGUUCUUACCAUGUUAAACUCACACAAAGGUGGUGUUAAUGAGAGGUUGACAGGUAAGCAAAAUAUUUUUCCUUGGAUUAUUGACACAAGGGCUUCGCAUCACAUGACCGGCACAUAUGAAUGUUUGAAUGACUUGCGUGAUAUUAUGUCUUGUCCGGUUAGGUUGCCAAAUGGAGUAGAGACCAAAGCUUUGAAAAAAGGAACUAUGACUCUUGGAGAAAAAUUGAAACUACGACAUGUUUUGUUUGUGCCUAAAUUGAAAUGCAAUUUGAUUUCUGUGUUGCAGCUUCUUGAUGAUUCCAAUCUUGUUGUUCAAUUCACUAAUAAAAUUUGUGCUAUACAGGACCGCAAUUUGAGGAUGCUGAUUGGAGCGGGUGAACAACACAAGGGGCUUUAUUUUCUCAAGGGAGUCACUCCUAUUCGUGCUUACAAGACAACUAGUAUUGUGUCUUAUGAGCUCUGGCAUAGAAGAAUGGGUCAUCCCUCUUCUAGGGUAGUAGAUUUAAUUUAUGAAGUUGAUAGUGUUAGUAGAAAUGAUGGUGUGAAGAAUAAGUUUUGUGGUAUUUGUUUUAAAGCUCAAAAAACCAAAGAAGUGUUCUUUUCUAGUGAUAAUAAAGCUAAAGAAUGUUUUGACCUGAUUCAUUGUGAUUUAUGGGGAGCUUAUAGGGUUCCUGCUUCUUAUGGAGGUAUUUAUUUCUUGACAAUUGUUGAUGACUGUUCAUGUGCAGUGUGGAUAUAUUUGUUGAAUAGAAAAGAUGAGGUUGCUUGUUUUCUUAAAAAUUUCAUCGUAAUGGUGAGACGACAAUUUGAAAAAAAUGUGAAAAUUGUUAAGAGUAAUAAUGGUACUGAGUUUAUGUGUUUGACAAAAUAUUUUGUUGAACAUGGAAUUUUACAUCAAACUUCGUGUGUCGGGACGGCACAACAGAAUGGGCAUGUAGAAAGAAAACAUCGUCAUAUUCUCAAUGUAGCGAACCCUGCGAUUUCAGGCACAUUUACCUAUUGAGUUUUGGGGUGAAUGUGUUCUUACAACUGGAUAUUUAAUUAACAGGACACCAUCUAUUUUAUUAGAUGGUAAGACACCAUAUGAGAUCUUAUACGGACAAGCCUCCUCCUAUAAGCACAUUCGAACUUUUGGGUGUUUGUGCUAUGCCCAUGACCAAAAUCAGCAUAAAGACAAAUUUGCUAGUCGGAGCCGAAAAUGUAUUUUUGUUGGAUAUCCAUUUGGAAAGAAAGGUUAGCGGUUAUAUGACUUGGAAAACGGCGAAUAUUUUGUUUCAAGGGAUGUAAUCUUUGUUGAAGCAUAAUUUCCAUACUUCAACAAUGUUGUUAACUCUUCCUUGAUCGAGAAUAAAGUCAUGGAUUUCUCUGUAGAUGAUGAGGGCCUGUAUAUGCAGAAUGACAUGGAGGAGCAAUAGGCUUCUGUCUCGGAUGUAGAGCACGAGAUUGAUGUUGAGAUGGGUCAUAAUAUGGAGAUGGCUACUGAUGGGAAUACUAAAGUAGGAGACAGGGGGGCACUGACGUGUCAAGACCUAUGGUGUCUGAGGAACAGUUUGGCAAGGGAAAAAGGGUUAAACAACCUUUUAUUCGGUUGAAAGACUAUGUAACACAUACCAUUCGAGUAAGCCCCUCAGCGAGUUCAUCGUUCCAGUCAAAAUCCUCAGGUACAUCCUAUCAUUUAGCACAUUAUGUGAAUUGUGAUAAAUUUUCUACACAACAUCGGUUCUUUCUAGCAACUGUUACCACAGGGUGUGAACCAAGCACUUAUGCUGAGGCAAUAAAAGAUGAAUGUUGGAGAGAGACGAUGAGAAAGGAGAUACAAGCUCUUGAAGACAAUGAAACGUGGACAGUAGAAGACUUGCCUCCCGGGAAGAAAGCAAUUAGGAGCAAAUGGGUCUACAAGAUUAAAUAUAAUUCUGAUGGAAGCAUUGAGAGAUGCAAGGCGCGCUUAGUGAUUCUUGGAAACAAACAAGUCGAAGGAAUAGAUUACAAUAAGACUUUUGCCCUGACAACAAAGAUGGUCACAGUGCGAAGGUUUCUUGCCGUUGCAGCUGCGAAGGGUUGGAAAUUGCAUCAAAUGGAUGUACAUAAUGCCUUCUUGCACGGUGAGUUAGAAGAAGAGGUAUAUAUGCAGAUGCCGCCUGGUUUUGCAUCUCCAACAUCAAGUAAAGUCUGUAGACUUUGAAAGUCAUUAUAUGGUCUGCGACAGGCACCCAGGUGUUGGUUUUCCAAGUUAGUAGCGGCGCUAACAAGUUAUGGAUUUAAGCAGUCGUAUUCUGAUUACGCAUUAUUUACUUAUGAAGCUCAACACAUUCAACUCAAUGUUCUUGUCUAUGUUGAUGAUCUAAUUAUAUCUGGAAAUGAUGGAACGGAUGUGUAACAGUUCAAAGAUUAUUUGAGUUGGUGUUUUCAUAUGAAGGAUCUAGGAAAACUAAAAUAUUUUUUGGGGAUUGAAGUUGCGAGGAACUCAGAUGGUAUCUUCUUAUGUCAACGCAAGUAUACACUGGACAUCAUCUCUGAGGUUGGGCUGUUGGGAGCCAAGCCGGCUGGGACUCCUCUUGAACAAAACCAUAAAUUAGCACUUGCUGCGAAUUCUGAUUUACGUGAUCCUGGACAAUACAGACGCCUGGUGGGUCGGCUCAUCUACCUGACAAUUACCUAGUCAGAACUGUCUUAUUGUGUGCAUAUGCUUGCUUAGUUCAUGCAGCAACCGAAGGAUGAACAUUGGGAAGCAGCUUUGAGAGUUGUUCGAUAUUUGAAAGCAAUCCGAGACAAGGUAUCCUUUUGCACUCUAAUUGCGACCUGAAACUAUAUGCUUAUUAUGACUCAAAUUGGGCCAGUUGUCCUUUAACACGAUAAUCUUUGACUAGUUAUUUUAUUAUUUUGGGUAAUUCGCCAAUCUCUUGGAAGAGCAAGAAGCAACAUACGGUGUCUCGCUCUUCAGCUGAAGCAGAAUAUAGGUCCAUGGCAACCACAACUUGUGAAUUGAAAUGGUUGAAAGGAUUGUUGUCUAUCUUUGGUGUGAUGCAUUCUGACCCUAUGCAUUUGUACUAUGAUAGUCAAGCAGCUUUACACAUAACAGCUAAUCCCGUUUUUCACGAACGAACAAAGCAUAUUGAAGUUGAUUGCCACUUUGUACGUGAUGAGAUACAAAAUGGUGUUAUUCACACUAAGUAUGUUCAUACUUCCAUGCAACUCGCAAACAUUUUUCCAAAAGCUUUGGGAAAACAACAGUUUGACUUUCUUCUUCGCAAGUUGGGCGUUCGGAAUCCUCAUGCACCAACUUGAGGGGAGGUAUUACCGAUUAUGGUAAGCCUUGAUUGGCAAGUUUUUGGUAAGCCUUGAUUGGCAUGGUAGGCAAAUAUUGUGUUUGUAAUUUGUACAUAGUUUCUUCCUUGUUUAGUUUUACCUUGUUUAGGAGUCUUGAUGUAUCUCUUCUCCGUGUAUAUAUAUUGGCAAUCGAUGAGAAUAAAAGGACAGAAGAAAAUUGAUCCAAAAUCACCUAGAGUUUUUUAAUUUUUUUUUUUUAAAGUUAACUAAAUAAAAAAAUCAAAAUAUUUUACUUUUUACUUAAUACUAAAAAUAACUUUUUGAAACAACCAAAACAUAAUUUCAACAUUACUUUCGUCCUAUUAAUACAUAAUACUUAAUAUAAAUAAAAUAAUAAAAAAAAUACAACUUAAUACUUAAUAAUAUUAAGCUAUAUUUAAAGUUAAAUUGAAUUCUAUUUAAAUUUAACUAAAAAAACAAAUAUCACCUAAUUCUCGCAUUUUGUUCUCUUACAACAUUCAAUUUCCUUCUCUAGAGAUGCUUUACAUUAGGAACCACAUGCCUCUUUCUAUGAACAACCAGCUUUUUGUCAAUUAUAGUUCACAUUCUAUCACUCUCUAAUAAUAUUAAUAUGUAUUUAGAGUUAAGUUAAAUUAAAUUCUAUUUGAAUAUAACUAAAAAACGAACAACAUUUUGUGGUUUAACGGUCCGAAUUGGGGCCUGAUUGCCAGACCAGAGACAAUGUAUGGUCUCUACCAACUAGCAAUCCACAAUCCUCCGACAUGGGAUGUGGGAUGAUUAUAAAUUGAAGACAAGAAGAGGAUCCAGAAUAGCAACAACUGGGCCCAAUUGGUCCAACUGAUCUUCGAAGGCCUACGAAUCAUUCCAUAACUUGUUUAACUAGAUAUUUCUACACCAUAAAACAAUCUACAAUUUUACGAUGUGGGAUGUGGGUGAAUUAUAAAUUAAAGACAAGAAAAAAGGACUUUGCGGUGGAAAAGCAAAGGCUAAACCGCUUGACUAUGCAUCACUUUUGAAAUAUUGUUGUAUAAUAAAUAUAUAUAAAAAUACUAAUAUGUUUUUCAAAUUGUUAUCAUAUCAAACCAUUAAACAAAUACAAAUAUUUACAUUCACAUUUAUUUUUAUAAUAAUUAUUCAAUUAUAAAUAUAAAAAUAAUAUAAAUUAAUUAAUAUAAUAAUUUAAAAUAUUUUGAAAUAAUAAAAUAUAUAAACAUAUAAGUAAAAUUAAAUAUUAUAAUUUUUUUUUCAUCUUAAAUAUACCUUUAAAUUUAAAUAUUAUAUAUGUUCUAUUUAAUCAAAUUUAAUAUAUUUAUAUUUAUCUCUAUGAUAUAAUUUGAUAUAUCAAAUAUAAAAAAUAAAAUAUUAUUAAUUUUUUUAGUGAUAUAUUUUUAAAUUUAUAUAAUAUAUAAAUUAUAUUUACGAUAUCAUCAAUUCGAUCAUGAUUUGACCGUCGAUUCAAUCGUGAUGCGAUCAUCGGUCUGAUCAUUAAAUCAUGAACCAAUAACUUUUUCAGUUUAACGAUGGACCUAAUUCUAAAAACAUUUGGUAUUGUGAUGGGCUUGAACCUAAUUUGAACCCAUGAUCUCUUAGUCGGCUUAUUAAUGGAUCAACUAUACUAAAAAUUUCAAUUUCCAUGUUUAGGAAAUAGAAUCAAUGAGUAAUUUGCAAACAUAUAAAUAUGUCAGUCCUAUUAAUAAGAUUUACUAACAAACCCAAAUCAAAUCUUAUCAUCUAAGAAACCUCAAUCAAAAUCUAAACGUUUAAUGUAAAUCCAAAAAUUAGUACCAAAUGCUAAAAUGAAAAACCAAUUUUAGUGUAUGUUAUUAAAAUUAUAGUAGUGUGCUAAAAUUAAUUAUAAAAUUAUCCUUUCUGAUAUCUUAUACUCAGUUGUCCAAUAUUUAUGAAAGAGAAAUUUAGAUGAUACUCUACAAUAAAAGAUCAUUGUAGAGUAUCAUAAACAUUUUUCUAUAUCUAAUUUAACAAUCGCAUAACUCCAAGCACCCAUUUCUCCUAUUAAGUUGCAAAAAUUCAUGAGCUAACAAAAUGUUAUCAAUUCCAACACUUGAAUUUUAAGAUUUCAUUGGACAGUAAUUUCAUAAAGUAUUUUUAAUAUUUUUAAUAUUUUAAAAUUUAUAUCUUUUAAAUAUUAAAAAUAGCAUAAAUGCUUUUUAAAAUUAUUUCUAAACACACUAUAAAUCCUUUGUAUAUAAAAGUGAUUCUAAAAAAUUUUAUUUGAUUUUGGCACCAACUAAUUUUGAGAAACAAAUAAGUAAAAGAGCUUUUUCUUUUUCUAUUUUUUUUUUCGAUAUCAUUUUUGAAAGGGAGAAUAUUUAAUCUUAAAUUACCUAUUACAUCAUCAAAUAAUUUUCUUUUACUAGAUUUCCUUUAUUUUCCUAUUUCAUCUUUUUGACUCAAGAGAUUAUCUUUACUUACUCUCGCCAUUCAUUUAUUAAAUAUUUUAUUCAAACUAACAAAAUUAAUAGAUAUGUUAACUCGAUCUUAUUGCUUAUUUUUAAGUUAUAUGUUCAUUUUUAUAGUACAUGUAAUGUAAACUAGAGAGAAAUUACACAUUAUUUAUUUUUUUAAAUUACUCUGGCUAUUUUCACAAUGACUUUAAAAAAUUGUUUUAUUAUAUUUCUAGAAAAAAAAAAUUGUUUAAGAAAUUAAAAUGUUUUUAACUUAUUUUCUAUAUUUUUAAAAAUAAUUUUUAUAUGUAGUACUUUAUUUUUAAACAUUUUUUAAAAUAACACUUAGAAAAUGAGUGAAAAAAAAAUUGCUAUAAGAAAAAUAACGAAAAUAACUAAAAGAUGUGUUCCAAAAACACAUUGUUUUAUAUUUUUAAGAAUAAAAAACUCAUUUUUGUUUUUUAGUUACCAAAUGUCUAUUUUCUAAAAUGGUUACCAAAUAAGAUAUUUGUCACUUCGAGUUUUUGAAAUUAAUAUGUAAUUAUAAUUUUAAAAAUUGUAAAAAUUAUAAACACUAUAAAAAUUAUAAACACAACAUAAGACAUGUUAAAAAUGAAACAUAUUCCAAAUGAUGUAAACAUUUUAAAAUUAAAGAUCAAUUUAUAUUGAAAAAAUAAUAGAUUUAAAAUAUUAAUAUCCUCAUUUUGGUUAUUAUUGUGUUCACAAAAAUUUAAUAAUCUAAUGUAUUAAAUAUUGAAAUGUUAAUUUGGAAACUGAUAAUAAGAAUUUUGAACUCUAAAUUACUAAUUAGGAUUAUAAUUUGGGUGGCUUUUUAUUUAUGUUUCAUCAUAAAUAGAUCAAUAAAUAUGAAUCAAUAUUAUUAUAUUCCAAUACAAUACCUCGAAGUGGAUCUCAAAUUGAAUCUUACGGAGCCUAUUCAUACACGACAUGAUUCACGUGAAUGACAGUUUAAAAAAAAAUACUUUUUUGUCAGCGAAAAACGUAUUGGUAAAAUUUUUUGGAAAAAAGGUUAACUCACGUGAAACCAACUGUUGAUAUUUCCAGCCUAUGUUAAACCUAACCCAAGGUAGGGUAGGGAAUUCUCAGCCCAUGUCAAACUUGUGAGCAAUUCGGAUUACCACAGAUCCAUACAGGUUAUCAAAUAAAAAAAUUAUUUCAUAGCCCAUAAAAUAUGAGUUAUAUAAUGAAACAAGAGAUUAAUACCUAAAUAUAUCAAAGUAAUAAAAUUAAUUUUAGUUGCCAAUAAAUAACUAUUUUAUAACUAUUAAAAAUUAAGGUAACGUUGGUUUUUUUGUUGAAUGAAAAAAGUUAAAAUAUUUAACUUUUUCUAUUCAAUUAAAAAUAACUUAUUGGCAUUAACUAAUAUAAUUAAACUAAACUUAUUGAUAAUAAAUUCACUUUAAUUAUGUUGGUGUGGACCUAGCAUUUGGCUCGAUGCGUUCCCACUCGAUGACGAAACUUGCUUUUUAUUUUAUUUGGUGAAAUUUUGAUUUUUAGAAAAAGACUUGGAGUCGUCACUUAUUUUUAUUUUAUUUUUAAAGGGAAAAAUAAAAAUGAAAGAAAAAAAAACUCUAAGUAUGACUCUUAAAAGAAAAACGGGUAUGUGAAAAACCAAAUCUGAGUCCGGGGUCAGGUUACUUAUUGGAAAGGUACAGUGGUGAGCCGUAGCACCCCUCUAAGCCUGUAUACGUACGACCUCUACUAAACGAAUUAAGGGAAUUGUGACAAUUCAUUAAUUAAUUAUGGAUUCCAAGAAAAAUAAUCAAUGUAGAAAUCACAGUAAAAAUUAAUAUACACAAAAAUAAUGACGAAAUCUAAUUAUAAGAAUACACAAAAUAAAUGACAAAAGAAUUAUACAAAAUGAUUUAUUAAACUAAAUAAAUAAAUAGUAAAAAAAAAUAUUUAAAAAAUAGUUUUCAAGAAAUUUCAAAAGAUUUUAUUAAAAAUGAUUUUGAAUGAGUGAUUUCAAUUUAUUUAUUUACAAAAUAUUUUCUUUAAGUGAUUUGAUUCAAUUUCAUUUAUAUUUAAUUUAAAAAAUAAAGUUAUUUACACUUAUUGUAUCAAAGAAUUUAUUACAAAAUUUCAAUUUAGGCACAAAAAUUAUUUUUACUUGUUUAAAAAAAAUGAAUUUUUACAAUUUUAUUUACAAAAAUAUUUCAAUUUGAUUUCAUUUAAGAAAAGUGAUUUAUAUAAAUUAUUUAAAAUGACAUAACUUUAUUUGCAAAAGAAAUUUUAAUUAAAAAAAGAAAAAACACAAAGAUUUAAAUCCUCCAUUUCUUAAAAACACUUUUAAUCCCAUUUUAAUCAAGAAAAAAAAAUUCAUUUAAAAAAAAUAUUUUUAGACAAUUUUAUUAAAAAUUAAUUUUUGGGACGACUUUAUUUACAAAACAAUUUUUUGGACAAAUAAACAAAGAAAUUUUUGGACAAUGUUAUUAAAAACAAUUUUUUGAAUUCUAUUAAAAACAUUUUUUUUUUCUAAAUGCAUUUUUCUGGAUUUUUAUAAAUAAUGAAAAAAAACUUUCUUCUAUUAAAAAUAAUAUUUUAAAAUUAUUGUUUUAUCAAAACAUAAUUACUGAAUUCUUCCUCUCAUUUAAACAAAAUUUAUCGUUUGUUCGAUGUUCAAUUCUGUACACGCUCAAUAAAUACAUACAAAACGAAUAUUUACACAAACUAAUAAAAAUAAAAUAAAAUAAAAGUGAAAAAUAAAAUAUGUACCCAAAUAAACUUACAACAAGUUUCACAUGUCAUCAAUUCGUACUCAACCAACAAGAUUGCAGAGUGGGUUCAUGCAAAAAUAAGAAUAACACAAAUGUAAAUAUCCAAAAAUAUGUAGAGUCCAAAAUAAUUAUUCAAGUUUCAAAUUAGUUCAAUAAAUUUCAAAAAUGGGUCCAAAUUAACAAAUAUAACCCAAUAAAAAGUAUCUCACAUGUUAUAAGCCUAAUUUAAAAUUUUUAAAUUAAUAACCAAAAUAUAAACUCAAUUAAUCAAACCCAAAACAUAAUAAAUUAAAAUAAAUCUCAUUAGGCCUAAAUUUAAUAUCUCAUCAUCCAAGCUCAAUUUUAAUACACACCACAAUUGUCCCAUGUUCAAAUUGACCAAACCCAUAUCAAAUAUUCAAGUCAUCCAACAAACCUCACUCACAUUGUAAGCCCAAAAUUCAUAUCAAUUAACAAGUCCACAUUAAUAAUACAUAUGACCAAAAGAAUUUAAGCUCAAUCUAAUAAGCCUAAACAAAUAUUCAAUUAAUAAACCCACAUUAAUAUUAUAUAUAGUUAAAGGUAAUAAUGUACUAAGCUCAAUCCAACGAGCCCAAACAAAUAAUAAAUCAACAAUAGGCUCAAGUCUAAAUAAACAGUAUACAAUUGAUAUAAUCCAAAUAUCCCAAAUUAAUCACCAAAUAUAAUAUACCCACAAAUCCAAAUUAACAAAUUUCAAAUUAAUUCACUAACAAUAAAUUAAACCAAAUUACAUAUUAAUCUACCAAUAAUAAAUUAACCCCAAAUUUCAUAUUAACUCAAUAAUCCAAAUUUUAUAAACAAUAAUUACUAUUAAAAAUAAUAACAAUAACAAUAACAAUAAGGGAAAAUGAGUGAUACGGGGAAGUGGGAGGAUGAGAGACAAGGGCAGGAGGUCAUUGGCCGAUAGGGGCUCGUUGCUAGUCGGUUAUCUCGCGAUGAUAGUUGAUGACUUUUUUUUUAAGAAAUAAAAAUAAAAUAAAAUAAAAUAAAAUAAAAUAAAGAUAAAUAUAAAUAAAUAAAUGGGGAAAUGAGGAUGGAGGGGGCGCCGAAAAAGAUGCAAGCGUCAAGCCGCCGGCAGUGUGAGAGUUUGGGGAAGGAGAAAAAAAAUAAAAUAAAUAAAAGAGCAGAUGGAGAAGCCGACGGGGUGUGGUGUUGGGAGAGAGGAAGAAAAAAAGGAAAAAAAUGGGGAAGAAGAAAAUGGGUAGACGACCAGGGGGGCGGACUCUGUGGGAAGGGAGAGAAGAAGAAAAAUUCCUAAGUGGGUGGGGAAAAAACGAGGUCGGCCUUGCGUGUCCUCCAAUGAGAGAAGGGCUGGCCUUGCGUGUCUCAAAGAAAAAAAAGAAAGAGGGGUCUUGGAAAAUGGGGGCGGGGGGCCGGGCUUGGACGUAGGUAUGGGGGGUAGGUGAGGAUAGGUAGAAAGAGGAAGAGAGAGAAGAUAAGAGAGAGGAGAGAGAAAAUGAAAUAAAUAAAUAAAAUAUAAAUAUAUAAAAAUAUAAUAUAAUAUAAUAUAAUAAUAAUAACAAAUAAAAAUAAAAUAAUUUAUAAAAAAAAUAAAAACUAAAAAUUAAAAGAUGAAUGUAUAAAAAAACAUAUAUAAUUAGAAUUUAAAAUUGAGCUUAAGAUUAAUAUAAAAAUAAAAUUGAGAUAAAUUUUGGAAUCUAUUAUUGAUUAAUAUCAAUAAAACGUUUUUAGUUAAAUAAAAAAAAUCAAAUAUUUUAAUUUUUUUUAUUUAAUAAAAAAACAAACAUCAUUUAAAUACCUUCAUUUUUAUGUAUUUAUAUUUUAAUAAAAUAAUAUAUAAUAUAAUUAUAAAUAAAUAAUGUGUGGGUUGAGAUUUGGGCAGGUUGCCCAAACCUUCGGUCUACACUGACUUUAAUAUUUUCAAAGUGAUUGUGUAUUAUUUUAACCCAAUCCCCAUACUAAUCCAUUUGAAACUUUGUCCAAGCCAACCUGAACAUCACAUUGGCACAGGUUAGGCAGGUUGGACUCGUCCAGUUGCAGCCAUAUUACCAAGUCCUCAACUACUUUUCAGCAAAGUUGAAUUUAUUUAUUUAUUUUUCCUUGUUGCAAAGUUCUCCUAAAUCUCAUUAGUGUCAAGGGUGAAAUUAUCUUGCCAAAUAGAGGUCAAGCUUGCUAGCCGCAAUUUUAGAAAGAAGUUCAAAAUCAAUCUUGCAUAAAUACUAAAAUGUAAAUUGAGACAAUUCCAUUUUUCCGACCCCUGUCUUAACUUUGGUAAACACAUAAGCUUUAGCCAUCACCAAACAGGCAUCGAAGUUGGCGAUGCCGGCCUAAUUCGUAAUUGAAUUGGAGAAAAAUAUUUGGAAAUGGGAAUUUGAAACCACCUUUAAGAUAAUUUGUCGUGUUCAUCAUGCUCAUUGAGUAUGUGACGUGCAGAGGAUGACGACUAGUUGUCGGCGUGAGAUGACGUAAGAUGCUCCUUGUCGAUGACUAAAGCUUUGAGUAAAACCAGGGCAAACAGCCCACGAGAUCCUACAAAUCGUCACUACAAACGUAUUCCUCCCAUUCGUCACUGCAACACGUCAUAGCCUAUAAUUCCAACAAACAAAUUAACCCAAUUGACCAUUCCAUGUGCUCAUUCUCAUUGCCUGCUGGCCGAUGAACUCAGAAUUCAAUUGUAUACCUCAUAGAAGAUUUUGUUGUAGAAAUAUAAUUGGUCAUAUAUUUACACCUAAACACCUCAAGAACUGCAAAACUUUCACGUCAUUGUAACCUUUAAAUUAUUUUAACUCAAUCGGUUUCUUGUGUCCAACAUGCUACUUGAAUUACAUGUUCUUGGUGCCAUUUUUUUGGUUGUUAAAUAAAGCUAUUGCAGCCCAAAGACAAAAGAAGCUUUUUCAAAAAAGGGAAAAAAAAAGUAUGUCAGUUUUAUAAAAGUUGUCUAAAAUGGCAUACAAGGGUAAUAAUUUAUAUAUAUUAAAUAGAAUUUUGUUUUCACAAGAUGUGUGGAGGAGAAACAGUUGAUUUUAGCAUUAAGAGAAUUGUAGCUCUCACUGUUAUAAACUUGUGGCGAGGCACCUUUGUCUUCAGCAUGAUGCUGGAUUCGGGGAAAAAUAAUGUACGCAAGCCGACAACUAUCAGCCUGUGUGCAAGAGAAGACAACGACAAGUGACCGUGCAUUCAUGAGAUUAGAUGUAAAGGCGCUGGCUCUUAUCAACUAGUCUGACAGCACUUAAAACACAAGGCAAAGGUGCUCACGACGACUACCGCCAAUACGUCAGUACAAACGUCAUAGCUACCGUAUGUACUGUCCACAACUCCGUGCCUUAUUUAAGCGUUCCAAGGCCAUUCCCUACACAAAUUAACCCAAUCAUUCUCUGCAUAGAUCCACGCUCUACCAAGUUUCUAGCAAAUAAUCCUGUACUUACUAUUCAGCAGCCAAAUAAUGCAACCCCAAAUCCUCCUAGUAACUUAUCCGGCACAAGGCCACAUCAAUCCCUCUCUCCAACUAGCUAAGCUCCUCAUACGUGCUGGUGCCCAUGUCACCUUUGUCACUAGCAGCUCUGCCGGUACCCGUAUGUCCAAAUCCCCAACCCUGGAUGGGUUGGAGUUUGUGACAUUCUCGGAUGGCUAUGAUCAUGGAUUCGACCACGGGGACGGCCUCCAAAACUUCAUGUCCGAGCUGGAGCGUCUCGGGUCCCCAGCUCUUACUAAGCUCAUCAUGGCCAGAGCUAAUGAAGGUCGUCCCUUUACUUGCUUACUCUAUGGUAUGCUAAUUCCUUGGGUAGCAGAGGUAGCCCGAAGCCUUCACCUCCCAUCUGCACUUGUUUGGAGUCAAC